Molecule: long non-coding RNA, 47768 nt
Filed under: Oryza sativa (Asian cultivated rice)
Lineage: Eukaryota; Viridiplantae; Streptophyta; Magnoliopsida; Poales; Poaceae
Description: long non-coding RNA (OSAT_LNC000597)
Rfam family: MIR1428 microRNA precursor family (bases 15446-15555)
Source: RNAcentral
CUCUUUCUUGGUUUCUCCUUCUCUCUCUUUCUUGGUUUCCCACGGUCAAAGAUCCUUUCUCCCGAUUCUUCUCCUUCCCUUCCUUUUCCUCUGCUUUGCAGGUCGCAGCUUCGCUCUUCCCUCGUGCUCCCUUGCGAGAGAGAGAGAGAGGUGCCGGCGGUGGGCUGGCGCAGAUCAAGGCGCCGAGGAGGAGAUCGGGGCGCCGGCGGCUCGGGCCGGGCAGCGUGGCCGGAGGCGCCACGGGAGGGUGGAGGCAUGCGGUGGUGGGGAGCGGGGGAGGAGGUGGCGGUGCCGGGAGCAAGGGGCGACGCCCGGAGGGGGAGCUCAACCUAGAGCGGCGGGCGGCGACGGCGUCGGUGGGCGGCGGAUCCGGCGGCGCCGCCCUCGGGGGGGGGGGGGGCGCGGAUCCGCCGCCCAAGGGAGGGGUUCGGUGCUCGGCCCCGCGACGGCCGGCGGCGGGCGGCAGCAGCGGCGCGGCGAAGCUGGCACGGCCGGCUAGGGUUUCGGGGUUUUUUUAUUUUUUUAUUUUUGCUGAAAAAUAUUCUUUUUGCCCGCAUGUAAAAUACCGGAUAUCCGAUGAAAAAUUUCGGAUGGUUUCCGACCGUUUUCCGAUUCCAUAUCAUCGGAUAUCACCCUUUACUAAAUUCGUUUUCGUAUCCGAGAAAAAAAAAUUCGAAUUCGUUUCCAAAUCCACUAUAUUUUGGAUAGUUCUGACCGAAUUUUUCCGAAUCAAAAAAAUUGGUACUAUCCAAAAAAAAAAAAUUUCCGACGGAAACUAUCCGAACCGAACCACCAGUCUUAUCCAGUCGGUCCCGUGGGCAGGCCAUGCGGUACGUACUGUGAGCCAGCCGCGCGUGCGACCAACCAGCAGCUGCAUAUAUGCAGUGACAAAUGCACGCAUGCCUUCAUGUUGUCAUGCAUGUUGCCGGUCUCGCAUGGCCAUCCCACGGGACUGCGAGGUGCCGCUCGACCGGCUAGCGGGACUGACGCGGUACCACGCACCUACGCCGCAGGGUUGAGGCAGCUGUCGGUCCGGUGUUUUCACCCCCGCGGGAACGUGUAUAUUUCACUAUUCUUGUAAAACUAUAUAUAUAAUUAAAAAAAGGUUAGAAAUAAUGGAAAUUUUCAAAAAAAAAUUCUUAUCAUUCAUUUGGCUACUAUAUUUAUGCAUAAUAAUCGUAGGAAAACAAAACAACAUAGCUCUGAGUACAUAAAACACAUUUACCGCACUUAUAUAAGCUUCGGUUAUCGGUAUUGUGACUAUUUGUGUGUAUAUGUAACUGAUUAGUGGAGAUUCCACUUAAUUCUGGAAAUUGUGCAGUGUGAAAAUGCCAAAUAAGAAAAAGUAGAUAGUAGGGAUGUGGAUUUAGAGCCUACUAAUGCGAAUAUAUUAAAAACAUAUAUAACAAUAUAAUAGGGAUAUUUUUCAUAAACUAGCAUGGUGGCCCGCGCAGAUUGCGUGGCUAGCAUCAUUAUGUUUUCUCUCAUAUAAUAGCAUAUAUGUUUUCUCAUUAUAUUAUUCAAAUAUGUUAAAAUGACAACAUAAUUUUAAAUUUUUCAAUAACUUUACAAAACUACUAAUGUAUAAUAUUCAUAUUAUAUUUUAUAUACGAGUUAGUUAUUAAUUAUUUUUAGUAUCAAAUUUUAGUUAUUUGUAAAUUAUAUAUAUCCUAUAUGGAUUCUAGACUCGUCUUUCAAUAUUUCUUUUUUUUUUAAUUCCGAAUUUUCUGUAAAUUGUAUUUCUAUAUAGACUCGAUGCUCUUCUUCCUAUAUUAUUUAUUUUUAUUUCUGAAUUUUCAUAUUAUAUUUUAUAUACGUGUUAGUUAUUAAUUAUUUUAAAUAUCAAAUUUAAGUUAUUUGUCAAUUAUAUAUAUUCCUAUAUGGAUUCUAGACUCGUCUUUUAAUAUUUUUUUUAAUUCCAAAUUUCCUGUAAAUUGUAUUUCUAUAUAGACUCUAUGCUUUUCUUCUAAUAUUAUUUAUUUUUAUUUCUGAAUUUUUAUUAUUUAUAAUUGUAUUUCUAUGUGGACUCUAAACUCAUCUUUCAAUAUUCUUUAAUUUUUAAUUUCAAAUUUCAGUUACUUUUAAAUUGUAUUCCUAUAUUUGUAUUCCUAUAUUGACCUUAAACUCUUCUUCCCGUGUUUUCUUAAUUUCGAAUUUUAGUUAUUUGUAAAUUAUAUUUUUUAUACGGACUCUAAACUCUACUUUUAAUUUUAUUAUGUUUAUUCCAAAUUUUAGUUAGUUUUAAAUUCCUAUAUGGACUCUAUACUCUACUUCUAAUAUUUCUUAUUUUUUAAUUUCGAAUUUCUUUUUUUUAAUUAUAUUUCUAUAUGGACUCUAUACUCUACUUAUAAUAUUCCUUAUUUUUAAUUCCAAAUUUCUAUUAUUUUCUAAUUAUAUUUUUAUAUGGAUUCUAUACUCUACUUCUAAUAUUCCUUAUUUUUAAUUUCAAAUUUCAGUUAUUUCCUAAUUGUAUUUCUAUACGGACUCUAUACUCUACUUCUAAUAUUCCUUAUUUUUAAUUUCGAAUUUCAGUUAUUUCCUAAUUGUAUUUCUAUAUGGACUCCAGUCUCCUCUUCUAAUAUUCCUUAUUUUUUAAUUCCGAAUUUCAGCUAUUUCUAAAUUGUAUUUCUAUAUGGACUCUGCUUCCUAAUUGUAUUUCUAUACGAACUCUAUACUCUACUUCUAAUAUUCCUUAUUUUUAAUUCCAAAUUUCAGUUAUUUCCUAAUUGUAUUUCUAUAUGGACUCUAGUCUCCUCUUCUAAUAUUCCUUAUUUUUUAAUUUCGAAUUUCAGCUAUUUCUAAAUUAUAUUUCUAUAUGGACUCUGCUUUUUCUUUUUCUCCGAUUAAUGUGAGAAUUUCUAGGCCAUGAGAGCGAACGUGGAGGCUCCUUUUUCUAGUCCUUUAAUAAUAUAAUAAUAGAUUUAGGGCUUCUUGAAACACCUUGUCUUAAAACAUGGGGUUUCCAAAAACAAAUCACAGUAAUUAUGGUUUUGUAUUUCGUGUUACUGAUACCCCAAAAUCUAGGGUUUUGUAAAAUUGAAUCUAAUAUAUCCUCUUCCAAUGGAGAUAGAAAACUUUGCAAACGAUGAUUGUACCCUGGGGCCACCUUGCAAAGUUUAAAUUAGAACCAUUUUGGCUGACUUUCAACCUUUUACAAAAUUUAAAAGUUGUCCAAAAUUAUGAAAAUAAAAAUAUUUUACAGAUGUUGUUAAAUUCAGACUAUAUUUAUUUCUUUUUUAAAAAAUAUAUAUGUUCUUAUUUUUUUUAUUUGUAACAAAUAUUGAAUUCCGUAAAAUAUGAUUAAAUUCAGCUAAAAUAUGUUCAGAUUUUAAUUUGGAAGGUGGUCCAAAGGUAAAAUUGUCUUUUGCAAAGUCCUAUCUCCCUUUUGAAAUAGGAUAUAUCAAAAUAAUGGCUAGAAUGCCUUUUGGCAAAGAACCACUAGACUAAAGUGUCCUAUAGCAGCCACUAAACUAGAGUGUCCUAGAACAAAUAUCAUAAAUUGAGUGUCGUAGAGAAUUUUGCACUUCUAUUAUUUGAUAUCUUGAAUUGAGCUGGAAAAUGUUGAAACAAUGGUCAUAGUGUUUAGCAUAUUGCCACGAAACCAAAGUUUCCAAUGGUCAAGACAUGUAUUUAGAAUGUCGCACAGCAAUUGCCACGAAAAUACAAUGUCCUAUGGAAAUUCUUGCGCAGAUUUUACUAUUCUGGGUUUUCGUUGCUUCCUUUUUAGCAUACAGUUUAGGUAGAAGUUACUACAUCUCUCCUUUAAUAUUUAUGUUAGGAAACGAUAGGCAAAUAAACGAUAAAGAACAAUAGAUCAAUCACAGAAGACACGAGAUUUAACAUGAAAAACCCUCCAAAAGUAGGAGAGAAAAAAACACGGGCGCCAGCCGGUAAAAUAUCGUGAGGUUACAACACCGAACGGCGGCUUAUAAGAUAUAUAUAUGAAGGUAUCUUCACUACACUAUAUCAGGAUAACGAUCCGUACCGCGGCUUCAGCCUCUGCUUCGCUCCGGCCUAGCCUCCGGCAUCUACGGGCCUCUACUUCGCUUCAAUAGAAGCUGACCUUUAUUAUGUGCAAAUGAAUUUGGAUCACAACUCAACAAUUUGAAGUUGGUUAGUUGGAAAUUGAAUUGACAAACGUCAUAUUUAAAAGAAUAGAGGGAAUACUUUCUAUUGUGGGAAUUAUUUAUUUGUAAGAAGAUGAGCACAUUACUAAUUUGACUUAUGGAAUGAUUAUUGAUACUUCUGUACAAUGAUGCCACGACUUGUAGAGUGUUACUGACUCAUGAUCAUUUAUAUCGGUAUGCUCAUUUGAAGUGCCAAUCUUUCACGAGUUCCAUCAGUACAUGCGAAUUCCUUCCCAUUGACUGAUAAACCUUCCAUAGAAUUAUUUCGUGAACCUCUCAUCUCUCACAUUCUAAAGCUUGACAUUGAUCCUAAAUGAUGGAAUAUUUUCUUUUUAUUCAGGCCGCUGAAGUUGCUAGUCAGGUGAACUCAUGGGUAGACAGAGUCACAUCAGGCCUCAUCAAAGAAAUACUCCCUCCAGGAUCUGUUGACCAUACUACCAGGCUGGUUCUGGGUAAUGCCCUUUAUUUCAAAGGAGCAUGGACUGAGAAGUUUGAUGCAUCUAAAACCAAAGAUGGCGAAUUUCGUCUUCUUGAUGGCAAGUCGGUUCUAGCACCAUUCAUGUCCACUUCAAAGAAGCAAUAUCUUUCGUCUUACGACAGCUUAAAGGUACUGAAGCUUAACCUGUAUAGGUCUACCCGUAUAAUUUUUGAGAAUUUUUACGGUACAAUCUACUGGUAGUAUAUACUACCAAUAUAAAUGAUCCAACGGUGUAGAUUGAUCUGCAUAGCUAUUUAAUUAGAUUGCAGUAAAAAAUAAAAAAGCGCAUAUUCAUCUUUCUAUUUUAUUAGGUGGGGCUAAUUAUGUAAAUUACACGUACCGAUUAAUUAAACCCUAUAUUUCUACUAUGGCAUGCUAAUCUAUUUCUGCAUUCCGGCGGGGCACUGACCUCGGAUCGCCGGAUCCUCUAGGUCCACUGCUCUCUAUACCAUUGUCAUCUUUAGAUCAAUAUAUACAUUCUUCGGAUUAAAAUAGCAGAGAUUAUUUACAAAGAACAUAACUCUUCUCUUUGAGUAGAGCAAGAACGCGCGAUAGGGUAAAGAGUAAAUAAGAGUAUAUCUGUACACACAUUCAAUUUCACGCACAGAUCAGAUGUAUUUUCAGCCAGAACAACAGCGCAUUGUCUUUAAUUCCAACUCUAGCUCGUUGGAGGGUGUUGCGCCGCCGAAGCCAUGCCGGAUUGAAUGUGUCUCGCGGGAUGCGGGGCAGACUGCGGUGGAAGGCAGCGACUGGCCGCCUGGGCAGGAAGAAGGACGCCCGGGAAUCCUGCUGCCGACGAGGACGAAUCACGCCGCCGUCUCUCCUGACUCACGCACACUGAUAUCAAUAGAUAGAGAAUUAGGGAUUGAACUGAUGAAUGAAUAACUAAAAUACCCUUACAAUCAUUUAGGAAAUUCUCAUUAUACCCUUAUAAAUACUGCAAGUAUAUACUACCAGUAUAGUGUACUGUAAAAGUCCUCUAAUUUUUUUCUGCUAUAUUCAAUGAAAUUGGUAUAUUCUAAGUGUCGGUUUGUUAAAAAAAAAAAGGUACUGAAGCUCCCAUACCAGAAAGGCAGGGACCUGAGGCAGUUCUCCAUGUACAUACUUCUUCCGGAAGCACAGGAUGGCCUCUGGAGCUUGGCUGCGAAGCUGAACUCUGAACCAGAGUUCCUGGAGAAGCGUAUCCCGACGCGGCAAGUUACUGUCGGCAAGUUCAAGCUCCCCAAGUUCAAGAUAUCGUUUGGAUUUGAAGCGUCUGAUUUGCUCAAAAUUUUGGGGCUCCAACUGCCAUUCAGUUCGAAGGCUGAUCUUACUGGGAUGGUGGGUUCUCCAGAGAGACAUAACCUGUUCGUUUCAUCCCUUUUCCACAAGUCGUUCGUCCAGGUGGAUGAGGAAGGCACCGAGGCUGCUGCUGCAUCUGCAGCAGUGGUCAGUUUUAGGUCAGCUCCAGUAACCGUGGACUUCGUUGCGGAUCAUCCGUUCCUGUUCUUGAUCAGGGAGGACAUGACAGGUGUGGUGCUGUUCAUCGGCCAUGUGGUGAAUCCACUUCUGUGAUCAGGGAAGACAAGAAUGGGUGUUGCAAUAUACUGUAGAGAAGCAGCAUUUGAUCAUGGUGACUUCUCAAUGAGUAUGACAAAUGUUCUGUGUGUGUUUGAUUGUGCCUGCAUGAUGUAUGUGAGGUUUGUGUAAUGGCUGAGUUAAUAAAUGAGAUGAGACUCGCUGGUCAAAUUGUUCAUUGUCAACUGGUCUAGUAUCAGCAAUGGCGAUGGUGUAGCUUCAGCCAGCUGUGUUGUUUAGGUUUGCUUGACCAACUGCUGAUGGCGAUGUCUGCAUGCCCCAAAUGAUGUACUGAUGUUAACAGAGUAGUACCUUAAUAUGAUGAAUGCCUGAACAUCAAUAAUUAAGAGGCUAACGCUAACGCAUACCGAAUAACCAUAUAUACUAUUAAAAAAUUGAGAAUAUUUUUAUCGGUAUUUGGUUCAAAUACGUCAGUCGGUUUUUAAGUUUUGUUUGGUUUUGAAAAUACAGAUCUGUAUUUGAGUUGGGUUUUAAGUUCGCUUGCUUUUGGAAAUACGGAAGGAGUCAUAUAAGAUAUCUUUUUUAAAAAAACUAUGCUAACUUGAGUGGUUUCAAAAAAAAAAUGUUAACUUAAGACGAUCGGAUUCCUAAUUGCAGCUCAUGAUUUUCUAGAAAAAUAUAUAUCCAAGCGGAUCCUCACAGUGAACUUCAUCUUAACUAAACAGUAUAACAAUAAUACGUUGAGACGCACGGACAUUUUUUCUAGUCUAAACAAAAAUGGGAGAAAUUCACUGAAGUAACAUAAAUAAAAUUAAUGACGUGCAGUGCAGAUGGUGCUUUGAAAAUGGAAACAAGUUCGUGUACUGAGCUUACUGGGGGCAUCUCUUAUUCAGUCUUCACGCUGCUACUACUACUACUACUACCACUACAUCGCUUUCCCUCAGUUAAGGGGAGCAAAGACAAGGUUCCAAACAGUUCUCAAAACGAGAUCUAGGACACUCCAAUACACAAAUCAACGGCGACAAAACAGGAGACAACAGGGAUCAUCAGGCAUAAUAAACAGCAUAGGCAACCGAACUUUUUUGUGAUGUACUCUUGACACAUGUAUCCACUUCCCAGUUUCUUGGCCAUCUUUGUCAUCUGUGACUGUAAUACAACAAACCAAUUCGCGGGCAACUGACAAGCAAUCUGCCUGUCUGCUUGCUAGAAUUCACAGCAUCACAUAGCGUAUACUAUCUCCCCACUGCUUUCCACGUCAAGAUCGGGGUCUGAAUCAAGGUCCUCCAUGUCAUCAUCGAGGUCAAGGCCAUCAUUCAAGAACUGGUUGAUUCCACCAGACCCAGCUGCUGGUAUGGUCGCCUCUGCCAGUAUCUGCAUGAUCUCAUCCAUGCUCUGCAUUGGCUGUUCGGGCUCCUCGUACUGGCUGCUCAUCUUGCUAUCAUCCAUAAGGUCAGCUGGGAGAUUCUUCAAGAACCAUGGAUGAUUUCUGAUCUCGGGGAUAGAGAUUCUCUGUAUGUCCAAACAAUUGCGAUUUAUAUCAAGAAGGAAAUGAUACAGAAAAGAGGCUAGUAACUAGUACAGUAUAAAGGCAGAGGUACUCACAGUGGCUGGGUUGGCCACAAAAAUCCUCGCAAUAAGAUCUCGGCACUCUGGAGAUAUGUGGACAUAAUCUGGAAUAGAGUACUGCACACCCAAUAUUCUCUGCGAAAAUGAAGAUCAUCGAUCAGUUUUUGUAAUCAAAAUGGUUAUGAAAUUUUGAGACCGUGAUGUUGGAUGACCGCAAUGGAAACCUGAAUUGUCUUCCUGAAAUUCUUAGGCUCAUCUGGAUCCUCAAAAGGAUAUGCACCAACCAGCAUUACGUAGAGGGUUACUCCACACGACCACACAUCAGCAAUCUUUGUUGAGAAACAAAUAUUUAGUCAGCAAUCGCACUGAUGCCUCGCGAAGAAAGUACAAUUGCUUAAGUGGAGAAAAUGGUACAUGUAUGAUGUAUCAAUAUACCAGACUGAGACACCAUGACACCAUAUUCAGGACGCAAGCAUGUAAAUUCAAAUAUAUGAGUACCUUUCCAUCAUAUUCCUUCUUCAGCAGAACCUCAGGAGCGAUGUAUGCCGGAGUUCCAACAGUAGAUUUUGGUUGCGAAUGAAGAACAGACGACUGACAAAUGAAGAAAAAAAAGUCAUGACAUGAUCAGAAUAAAGUUAAAAAAGAUUCCAGGCACAAAUUCCCCGAAAGGCUAAACAAGACACAUGCACAGCUCAGAUUCCAAUUUGGCAUAACAAGCAUGAUAAUGCUGUGGAUCACAACCAGGAGAUAGAACAUAGCAAUAACAUAAUCCAUAAAGCAGAGUAUUCCAUGAGACAUGACAAUACCUUUGAAUAGCCAAAGUCGCAUAUCUUGAGGCGAGGCGCCGUGCUGCCGUCGAGCAGGGUGUUCUCCAGCUUCAGGUCACGAUGGCAUACUUGCUUGACCAAAAAAAAAAAAAAAAAAAAAGGUAACCACAGAAUUUUAACUACCACACAUGGCAUGAUUUCUUGUCAAAAUUUUAAGCUACAAUUAAUUGGUGGAGGCAAAGAAAAGAAUAGAGAGAGGAUGGUGGUGGGCAUCAUACAUACCAUGGAAUGGCAAUAGCUGACUCCUGAAAUCAGUUGCUGGAAAAAGAACCGUGCCUGAAGGAUAGAAAAGACAAUUUUGGAUGGUACAAAGAAAUGGGCAAAAUUUUGGUAGGGUUAUAUAUAUCCGGGAAGAGAGAAAUGGCAAGGUUACCUACCUCGUCCUCGCUGAACCUGCCGGCGUUGCAGAUGCGCUCGAAGAGCUCGCCGCCGGAGGCGUACUCCAUGACGAUGGCGAGGUGGGUGGGGGUGAGGAUGACCUCCUUGAAGCGGAUGAUGUUGGGGUGGCGCAGCGAGCGGUGGUUGAUGAUCUCCCGCUGCACGUUCUCGUCGAUCUUGUCGCCGCGCUCGAUGUACUUGACGGCGACGAGCUGGCCGUCGGCGCGGCUGCGCAUGAGGCGCGCGACGCCGAAGUUGCCGGAGCCGAUGUCCCGCACCAGCUCGUACCGGUCGCCGUCGUGCAUUAUCGGCAUGUCCAUCCCCGGCCCCACCGUCAGCGCCGCCCGGUCCAUCUCUUUUGCCUCCCUCCCUCCCCUCGCCGCCGGCGAAAUCAAUCACCCGCGCGCGCCCGGCACGGCAACCUCCCGUGAAUGAAGCUCUCGCUCCUCCUCCUCCUCCCCUUUUAGGUGUAGCUCCACUACCACUUCGUCUCGUCUCCAGCAGCAAGAAGCUAGUAGGCGGAUGGAUUCGGUUUGGUUGGGGAUUGGGCGGCGGAGCAACCCCUCCUCGUGAUCUCCUCGCCCUUUCUCCCCACCUCGCUUGCCGCUUUUUCCCCCUCAUUUAUUAUUAUUUAUCCUACAUAUAAAAAUCAAUUAUAAUUCAUUAAUUAUUGUUAUUAUCUCAUCCUCUCUGCGUCUCGCCGUUUAUUUUUUUUUUAUCUUCAAUCCUCUCCUCUGCAGCAGCGAGGCGAAGAACUAUCCAGUGGGGAAGAUGACGAGGAGGCGGGGGUGACGUGGGGGGGUUGCCGCCUACGUAACGACACUGCCACAUGGGUCCCACAGGUCGGUGGAAGUUGCCGCAUGUGGGGCCCACGUUUCAGUGGGUAGAUGGGACCUUGGGCUGCUCGUGGGCGCGGGAAAAUAUCGACGGAGGCGACCGGUCAAAAAAGCGCACGCGCGUGGGGUUCAUUCAGGUCGGUAAGGAUCGGACGGUGAUAGACCGGUUUAUUGGGCGAGUUGGACGGCGAGGAUCGACUUGUCGGCUGUGCUGAGAAUGUGAUGGAGCCCCUAUAAAGGGUCAUUUUGGCAGGAGGCAAUUAAGUAGGUCGGUUUCCUUUGCAGAGGGGUGUUUAUAGAUUAUAAUUAAUAUUAUAAUAAUUCUUUCUACAAUCUAAAAAUUUAAAUAUCAAGGUAAGUAUCAUGUCUAUUUGCAGCAUGCAUAUAACUUCCGGUUAACUUGUGGGAUUGGUAGGUCCUAUGUUUGUACGAGAUAAGAGCAUCUGCUGGCAUCCGAAAUUUGGGCAUAGGAGCGUAAAACUGGCCUCUAGCAAAUACGCCAUCGCUCCUCCAAAAGUAGCGCAUGCGCCAAAACGAGAAGAGAAAAGGCAAAUAUAGCAUGUCUCUCUCCCCACGCCAUAUCACAACGAAUCAAGCUUCCGUCCCCAUCCAGAGUUCCGCUCUCCUCCAUCAUCGUCGUCGCCUGAGGGUGGAGAGAGAGGGUGUAGCCGUGGAGUGAGGAUAGAGAGGGAGAGCCAUACCGAAUCUGGUUGGAGAGCGCCACCGGCAGCAGCCGCCUACACCCAACGUUGUCGCAUGCCUCCUCCGCCUACCCGCCGCCCGCUGCCGUGCAUCCGGACCUGUAAUAAAAGAGAAUAAAAGAAUUAGAGAAGAGUAUAGAAGAUUAGAGAAGAGCAGAGAGAAAAAAAAAAGAGAAAACGAGGAAUAAAGUAGAUUUAUGUUACUAUAUUUUUUUCUGCUUUUAUCUUUAUUUUAUUUAAGUUGCUAUGAUUUUUCUCGAUAGGUGAACUCACCGACAGCCGUUGGAAAGCUAGCAAUUGAACACAUCAAAUUGAAAAAAAAAAUGCUCACUCAAUGCAACUAUAUCAAUUAAAAAACUACCAAUUAAAAUUAUAUCCAUUAUAAUUUACUUAUUUCAAAAUAUUAUCACGAUAAAUAACAUCAUUAAUAGUCAUUCAAAAUAUAGCCCCUAAAAAUAAUAUAAAUAUACAAAUAAUAUAAAUAUAAGGUUAGUUGAAAAAUAUUACUAAAAUAUAAAAGAAUAUGAUAUGGAUGACCUAUUGGAUUGAGAAGGGAUACGAAGGAGCUAUCUUUUUUAUGGCCAUCUAUAAAGGUAUAUGAAAUAUCAAUUUUGGAUGAGCUCCUCGGAUGCUCCAAGUGUAUGAUUCUCAAAACGCACAAACAGAAAAAUAAAUUGAAGUGUCCUGACACCUUAAAGUCUACAGAUUUAAUUUCUUUAGAAUGCUAUUCCUAUGAUCCAAUUGACUAUAUAGGAAAACUUUUUAUAUGAUUGAAUUCCUCUUAAAUGCCUUCAGAAGUCCUUUGUUGCAAAAGAGCCCUGAUUGCUUGAUUGCUGCUCAUCAUUCAAUUCAAUUGAAUAUCUCAAAAUAGAUAUGCCCACAGGCCACACAACUCUUGCCUAAGGGCAAUAGCAAUGCGUCACCUAAAAUGCUGGACCUGAUCUGCCACAUAUGCUGAGGAACACUGAGAGGUACAAGCUUCACAAUGCAGUACCUCAAGUGGGGUCCACAAAAAUAUAGUUUUCCUUUUUUUUUUCUCCACCUUUCCGCUCUCUCUCUCUCCCUUUCCUCGAGCCCAACGUUGCUCCUUCCCCUCUCUCACGCUCGAGCGGAGCCGGCACUGAGGCGUUCGAGCGGAGCGGCGGCCUCGACGGCGACGGGGCCGGGCGGAGCAGUGGCGAGUGGAGACGGCGCUGGGGUGGCCGGGCGGAGCGUCGGUGGAUCUGGGGACGACGGCGGUGGCGGCAAGGAGGAGACGACGGCGGCAGUCUUGGCAUGGAGGCCACUCGCUCGGCAGCAAGGAGGCGACGACGGCGGCGGUCUUGGCGGGGUGGCGGGCUUGGCGCUCGACGGCGGCGAACUUCUUGGCCUCCCCUCCUCUCGCAUGGUGGGGACGAGUCUCGAAGAAGGCGUGGCAGCGACGAGUCUCGACGACGGCGUGGCAGCUCGCCAGAUCCAGUGGCGACGGCUCGUCCGGGCGCGGCGCAAGGAUGGCUGCGGCCGUAGUUUCGUCGCUGCCACCAUGGUCGUCGCCGCGCUGCCCUCCUCCCCAGGCCGGCAACGCGGAUCUGGCGGUACGGGGCAACCUCGGAGCGGCCGGCGAGCUCCGGGCGACACGGCGGCGACACGCCCUUCCUGUCCCCCACGACCGCUGGCGCCGCUCACUCCAAUGCCACUCGCAACCGGAGGCUCGAGCGCCUCCCCUCCUCCUCCUCUUCCGGCCCUGCAAGGGCGGCGCGGCCGGCGACCUCGGCUCCCACGGUGGCGACCCCUCUCCUCUGGCUCUCCUCCGACCGGCGUGAAUCGAGCGACGGAGUGGCCGGCGAGCUUCAGGUUGAGCGGAUCGGGGGCGGUGUGGCCGGCGAGCUCCGAUGGCAGGGACGAGAACGAGCUCAACGGCUGCGGACAGCGACGACGGGCUAGGCGGCUGGCAUGGGAAGGAGGGUGAUGCCACUCGCUCCACAACGCGGAAGCAGCGUCGUCUCCCAGCUUCAUUCGUCCUCUUUUUCGCCAAGAACCAGUGGCCAUCUUUGAACACUCGAACCUCAUUCUGGUGGGCCUAGAAGCAGACGUGGCGUGUGCCCUCCUGCUUUGCCGACGUGGAAUGGCGAGGGAGAAUGACACAUCACUGCAUUGUAAAUGGCCUAAUGGUAAGCUUGUAUCGCUGCCGUCAGCUUCCUUGUAGAGUUUGUGUUCACCAAUGUACUUGAUGACUUCAUCACGAAUAAUAAGAUAUUUAAUUGAUAGGCAUCUUCUUAUGCAUUCUCUGUAAUUUGAUAUUGCAAACAAAUGCAGGGCUCGCAUGUCAGUAUUCAAUUAAUAGAGGGUGUUAGGAAUAUAAGAAUGUCAUAUGAUAAACCUCGGAAAGAACAUACCUUACUCUGGAUGAACUUAUUUGAUUUGGAACAAUCUCUUCUUGCGUCAAAAAAAAAAUCUCUUCGACCAUGAUAUUGUCCUGAAAACGAUUCCAUAAAGCGAAUAUGUAAACGAUACAAGAGAAGAUAACUAAUUUACUGUAAACUCCUCAAGUUAGUCAUUCCUACUCUGCAUUCCUGCAGUAUCUCACUGUUGGAUAUUAGUUUCUCAGCAUCUUUUCCUUCUGUCUGAAUGCAAACAACACCAAAGUCCUUACAUAUACAGGGGCGGAUCAGAACAAGAUUUAAGAGAGGACCCAUCUCCUUAUUCCUUCUUUAGUCCCCCUACUCUUUAUUUUUUUUUUCACUGUUCUUCCCCUUUCAUCUUCCCUUCUAUCAAUGGUGAUCCAGCGGGGUAGGGGAGACUCGAGUCCCCCAGCACCCACGCUGGAUUCACCCCUAUACAUAUGGGACGUCCAGCCUCAUCUUUUCAUUUAUGCUUAUGCUUAUCAGCUAAAGUUUGAAUUUUCAACCUUAAAUUUAAAGUUGAUUUUGGAGUUUUUCAUCGAAGUUUAUUUUUCAGCAAUAAGAAUACGUAUAUAAAAGUUUUUUUUCAUAAACUAUUUUUCGUUUGCAAAUAUGUCGUUUGGCUUAUCCCCCUAAAAAGCAAAACGAUGGGACCACUCAUCUUUUCGCUUAAGCUUAUGCUUAUCAGCCAAAAUUUGAAUUUUUCAACCUUAAAUUUGGAGCUGAUUUUGAGGUUUUUUUUAUCGAAGUUUAUUUUUCAGCCUUUUCUUUUACUCCCUCCGUCCCAAAAUAUAAGCAUUUUUAGCAUAGUGACAAGUCAAACAUUUUUAACUUUGACCAAUAAUAGUAAAAAAUAAAAAGAUCAAUCAUGUAAAAUUGAUGUUACUAGAUUUAUCAUUAAACAAACUGUCAUAAUAUGCAACUCACUUUUAUUUAAAACAUUUAUUUUUAUAGAUAUUGUUGGUCAAAGUGGCAUCUCGUAUACCGUGUCAGGAUAAAAAAUACUUAUAUUUUCGGACGGAGGGAGUAGAUCGUUAAGAACACGUAUAUAAAAGUUUUAUUCACAAAUUAUUUUUAUUUGCAAAUAUGUCAUUUCGCUUGGCUCAGCUUUCUGACUUGGAAACAGAAGUGGGUGUCAUCAAAGUAAGCUCUUCCAUUUAAGUGAAUUAUGCAAAUUUUUUCAGCGUCAUAUAGUCACUCACACGUAGUACAAUUUCGAAUUAAAUGUGAAAAUAUACUUUUUUUUAAUAAUUUGCAUUUAUAUACGUCGGAGAUAAAGUUUUGCGCAAAUAUACCUUCCUCGCGCGCUGGGAAAGCAGGAACGAGAUGGCAGCGCGGGAACGCGGUGGCGCGGACUGGGGGUGCGGGACCGGCUCGGUCACGUGGACUGGGGGUGUGGAACCGAGUCAGUCCCGCGGCGUGGCUGUGCGGAGUGGUGGUGGCAGCGGGACCGGCCGCCUGGCCGGCCGAUCGCGCGGAGUGGAGGCGCGGGACUGAGACGGUCCUGCAACCCCAAUCGGCGGCACCCACGCACUCCGUGGCGCCCGCCUCCUAGACCGGUCGCAAGGCACGGGAUUGAGGCGGUCCCGCAGCGCCAUUCUGUGGCACCGAGCCGCCGGUCCCACAGCCCAGCUCCCGUCAACCACACUCCCUCUUUUUCCAAUUUUAAGUCCAACUAUAAGUUUCUAUGCCCAAUUUAGAUGGUUCAUUUUAUUUAAAUUUUAUUAUUAUUAUUAUUAUUAUUAUUAUUAUUAUUAUUAUUAUUAUUAUUAUUAUUAUUAUUAUUAUUAUUAUUAUUAGAUGAUAAAACAUGAAUACUAAUUUAUGUGUGACUAAUGUUUUUAUUUUUUUUAAAUAAGACAGACGAUCAAAGUUGGCCACAAAAAAUCAUGGCAUCACCCUAGGACGGGAAUGCACAGCUACUCCGCGCCUCCAUUCCGCGGGACCGCACCGAAAGUUGUUUUGUCCACUGAAAGUUCUUUGUCCUCUCGCUCCAUGUGACAUGCUCAGCCACCAGAAACAAAGAGAGAGUGAUGCUAGCUUUUUUCACGUGUUGUUCGCCGAAAGUUUGUUGUCGUCUGGUUAGAGAGCCUACUCGACGAGUGCCUAUAAAAUGAACGUUUCGAAACGAAAGAAGCAGACUCAACUAGAGCAAAUAACUCAUAUCCGUAGAGCAAAUAACUCAUAUUCCUAGAGUUUAUCAUUGGUGUAAGCUUCAAUAGGUUAGUGCGCUUGGCGAAUUCACAGGCCCUAUCUUGUGGUAUGAACUGGGUACGCGAUGAUUUGCACUGCGUAUUGGGGGCUUACCAUAAGAUAAUGCCAUGAAUUUGUCAAGCGUUCAAACCCACUGAAAUGUUGUGUGAAGGUAAAUAUUUCAAAGUGUUCAUGAAGAAAAGGCAGGUAAAUAUUUCGUUACUUCCCCGUGACAUGCUAAGCCAGAAACAAUCUCGCUGCAUGUGAUAUGCUCAGCCAGAAACAGAAACAAAAGAGAAAAAGAGAGUGAUUCUUCCCAGCUUUUUUCAUGUGUUGUCUGGUUAGAGCCUACUCGUUGAGUGCCUAUAAAAGGAACGUUACGAACGAAAGAAGCAGACUCAAGAAUAGUAUAUCAUUGGUGUAAGCUUCAAUAGGUUAGUGUACUUUGCGAAUUCACAGGCCCUAUAUUGUGGUAUGAACUGAGUACGCGAUGAUUUAUGGUGCAUAUUGGGGGCUUACCAUAAGAUAAUGCCAUGAAUUCGCAAAGUGUUCAAACCCACUAAAGUGUUAUGUAAAGGUAAAUAUUUGUAAGUAUUCGGGAUGGAAAGGCAGGUAAAUAUUUAAAGUUUAUUAAUUUAGAAAUGUAGCUGAGACAUUAGAAAGUUUUAACACACAACAUUACAUAUUAGUUUGAAUGAGCAAAAUAUAAAAGCGUUCUACUCAUUAGCCUCAUCAUCGAAAUUUCGUGACGUGUUAGUGUCCUUUUUCUUUCCCUUUCUUCUAGCACCGGUUGGAGGUCUGCAUCCUGACAAAGAUAAUCUUUUAGGUGAAUGUCGCUCGCGGACAGACCUACGGACCACCUCAACACCGCUGAGAUCAACGUGGCCGUAGUUUUGGGUCGCUGAGUUACUGGUGGCGAUUCAUCAAGCUGUGACGGUCCUAUCUCGUGUUGUGCUGUUGACGACCCCCCACCGUAGCUAUAUGGUUCUCCGUAGGACUAUGUGCUGCCAGCAUAUCCCAUCAUUUGUUCAGGGUUGUACAUUCCUACAAAACAUUGAAUGCAAAGUUGUAGCGUACACACAUAAUGGAAAUAAAAUAUUUUGUAGUAAAUUAUAAUUUGUACCUAUUGUUUGUGGUUGCAUGAUAGGUGGUUGACUAAACAACCAAUCUCCAUGGAGGUGGUUGACUAAACAACCAAUCUCCAUGGCCUAACAUUUCGAGAAAGCUUGGUCCUUGUGGUGGUGUGUUUUCAUUUAUGGACAUUUGGUACAUCCCCUGCAGGUGCAGCGCUAAUUUAAUAUCGCAAUAUAAAGAUCGUAAAACACAUUAUGUACGAACAUGUGUUGUAUGUGGGAGCUCCUUGCCACUGAUCGUUCAUACCCGUUGAAAACACGGGCAUGUUAACUUGAGGUACACCUGCAAAAAUAAGCAAAUAUGUGCUUGACUCAGUAAAUUACAAAAUGAUGAACAUUAACAUGUGUGUUUAUUGAACUACCGGAAAACGCUCCUUGGAAUUGCGAGCUUCCAGCUUCUGUAUGCAUUGGGGGAACCAUUUGGCUGGAUCCUGCGAACCGCACAAACCCUCCCUGCCAUUGAUCAGUGGUACUUGUAUGCGGAAUAGAAGGGAUCACCGCUGUACUACCUGCAAUAAUCUCUACAUGUGAAUAUUGAAUUCGAAAAUAGCACUAAUUUUGUUCAGAAAACAAAAGGCGAGACCACCACAUAAUUUUAGUGAAUUUGGAAAAUUAGUCCAUAAAAAUAGUGUGUCCAGUACUUUUAGAGAAAAUUCCCUAUCUAGCAUCAAAAAAAGUUGCUCUUCCCUCUAUAGCAUCCAAACUUAAAAAGUUCCCUAUCUAGGCACUUCUAAAAUUUCCCUUCCCUAUGUAUCACUUCCGUUAGUUUUUACACUUGACGGUUUUAACUAGCAGGAGAAAAGACGCUUUUACCCUUCUUUAGUUUUCAGACUUGCCUGUACAUUAUGUUAGUUACUAAUUACUUAAGUUAAUUAAUGACAAGUGAAACCACAAGAGGAUAAUUAUUUUUUUCAAAAGAGUGGAUCGACAUGUUAUAUUUGCAGUGUUACGUUAAAUCAAGAGAAAACAUGUCGAAAAUACCAACGAUCAUGUACGGGCAAGUCUGAAAACUAAAGAAGGGCAAAACCGUCUUUUCUCCUGCUAGUUAACACCGUCAAGUGUAAAAACUAACAUAAGUGCUACAUAGGGAAGGGAAAUUUUAGAAGUGACUAGAUAGGGAACUUUUUAAGUUUGGGUGCUAUAGAGGGUAGAGCAACUUUUUUUUAUACUACAUAGGGAAUUUUCUCGUACUUUUAAGUCCCUAGAUUAAAUUAGCAUUGGGUACAACAAUUAAUUCUAUAAGUUAGGCCACUUGUACUUCAAUAAAAACUGUGCAUGAAAAAGAGCUAAAUUUUUGGACGAUUUUCAUAAUGAUACGUACAGAUUUUGGUUUAAUUUACAGAAAGGUUACCAUAACUAUAAUGAUUAAAAAUAGCACCAAAUAUAAUUCAUAAGUUUUCAUAUACAUACGUGCGAAUGCUAGAUUAUAUAUAAUAGUAUUAGAUGAGAAGUUAACAAGCUAUCUGUGCGAAACUAUUUUCUGAAACAGUUUUACCCGGUACCGAUGUGAACCUUGAUGCCACUGUGAUCCUCCUGUUGUUGUUUGUAUAGGCCUAGCCACCUGAUACCUGUGAAGAAUCUUUUAUUUACUAUGAGAUGCUCGAAAAAUAUUUGUAUCCUGCAGCUCGUUCUCUCCGAUAUAUCCAAGAUCUUCACGGUUCCAUGAUGCUGGAACAGGUUGGACUUCGUACUCAUCAUCAUCUGCCUCUUCAUCCUCCUCCUGAGCCAAGUUAGCUUCAUCCUCACGAGCAUGCCUAUCAACCCUCUUGUCACACCCGGAAUUUCUAUCCAAAAUUCCAAACGCUUACAUGUGUGUGAACCCUCGUCCAGGAAUCAGCCGAGGCACACAAUAACAAAUUGAUAAUAGAGUACAAUUAUUACUCUAAUUAAUAAGCGAAUAAAAUGUCAUUACAGAGGUAGAUAGUUCCUCUCAAUCAAUAAAGAUCUAAGCAGCGAAAAAAUAAGAUAAACGGCGCAGACGACUCCACUCCACAGGCAGCUUGACCAGGGCUACACCUAAUCCUCCACACCAUCAGCAUCACUGUAGAACUCCUCCUCUGAUGAAUGAUUGCAAGGUGAGUAUAUGACAUACUCAGCAAGCCACGCAGCAAAUAUGCAAGUGCACAGGAUAACAAAGGAUGGCAAAGUAGGGUUUCAUUUGCAUAAACAGCAUUUAAUAAACAUUUCAGAAUUUAAUAAAAUAGUUAAGUAGUAAUUAAACAAUAUUAAUCCAACGCUAUACAACAUACCCUGUUGCAUAGGCCCAACCAUUCUGAACAACCAUCCCGGCUGCACAGUUCUAUCUCCAAACCAGGAAUAUACCAUUCCAAACCAGGAGCUAAUCAAAUUAUUACCAGUUAUAGCAUCUUUUAUUAUGGUGAGAAGUGUGAAACUAAUCACGAAAGACAUUGUUAGACCCGCCCAUAACCGCGGGCACGGCUAUUCGAAUAGUUUUACUCUGGCCAGAGGUGUACCACUGUACCCACAAGACACAGCCCCACAACAUGUCACCAUGCACCUCAAUACCACCACGGUAUCUCAGAAAUGAGCUGUGACAGUACCCCUCGCACAACACAAUCCACCACAGCGCACCAUUCCUGGAUCAUAAUCACCCCCUUAUAAACAAGGCAUGGACUCCCAGUGGGCUUAUCUCCGCCACUUCUCAGUCUGGUGCUCCGCAAUGAACCAUGCUAUACAAAAGGUAAAGCUGUUGCCCACGCUGGCUUGUGGUUGGCACGGUUAAUGUUUCACAACCGAAACUCGUGAACCGGUCCUUAAUUGUCAUGAGCACGGCCAUCAAAACCAUGUGCUCACAACCCACCAUUAUCAGGUUUUAGUUGGCAAAUUAAUUAAUUAACCAGUCAUGAUUAACCAUCAUGAGCUAUCAUUAAGCCAUCAUUAAAUAAUAGUGAGUCAUAAGUUAUCCCAAUAGUGUGCUAAUGUUUCUAAGCAUGGCUAAGCAAUCAUAUCUAAUAUCUAGUUGAACCAAUAUAUAAAGCCCAACUAGUCAAGUUAUAAUAACCCAAGGUAUCAAGGAAUAAAGUAAUCAAGAACAAAAGGGCUAUAACAAACAAUAGGUUAAUUCCACCCAAUGACAUUCGAAAAUAAAUGCAAUAGUUGAAUAGAAACAAUAGCCUUAAACGGGAUCAACAUGCUCAAAGGGUUGUUUGGGAUCUGUGUGACUUGCCUUGCUGGCCUUGGAACUCUUCAAAAUCUUCUCCUGCAAACUCAGACUCUCCGGAAACGUCGGAAUCUAAAGAGAAAAGGGCAAAAUCACCAAAACAGCACAUAAACAAGCAUGAACAGUACAUGUGGAUAUUUUUAACAUGUAGAUCUCAAUUUUAGAAAAAAUUAGAGACUUGAACCAACUAAAUCCGAGCUAAGAUGAAUUAGUUAUGAAUUUUUAAGGAUUAAAUCAGAUUAAAACACUUAUAUGGGUUUUAAUUGAAUUAUGACACAAUAAUGAAUUAUUUUUGAAAAGGAAAAGGGAAUUAUUGCGUCAGCGGCUAGGGUUCGCGGUGGACCGGGUGCACGGCAGCGGCUCACGGAAACGAACGGCCGAGAUCGAUCCUAUCCACAACGAACGGCCAAGAUCUAACGGUCUACGACCGGUCUACGACGGACGGCAACGAUGACGUCGGCGAUGACGUCAUCACCGGCGGCGGCUCGGGCGCGCAAGCUCGCCGGCGAACGACGGCACGACAACGCGAACGGAGGACACCAACACGUAGAGGGCGACGUGGCGAACUCACCGGUGACCAAAACAGCGGCAGAAGAUCAGCGGACGGCGACGGCGUCGAGGAAGAAGCGGCGGUGACCUUCAGCUUGACGACGACGGCGAUUUUCCGGCGACCUACGGCGACGACGGAGGGGUGGACGAGAUCGGCGACGGCUUGGUGACCACGACGGUGACCUCCCAGAGCAGCGACAACGACCGGAGCGACGGCGGCGCACGGCUGGAGCUGCGGCGGCGACGGCGGCGCACGGCUGCACGGUGCUAGGGCGCUACAGAUGGCGGCGGGCAAAGGCGAGGGUGGCGACGGAUAGCGGAGACACCGGGGGUCCUUUUAUAGUGGCAAGGAGGCGGCGGCGAAGGCCCACGGCGACCGGCGACGCGAUGGAAGGUUUAGGGUUUGGAGGAGAGAGAUCAAUCCGAAUCAAACUCGAAUCCACGGAUUUCCAAACCGAAUUGGCGAUCGAUUCCAAAAGGAAAAAGGUAGAGAAGAUCCCGGGGAGCAUUUCCCCUCAAACGAUUUCACCGGAUCGGGAAAGAUGCGGCCGAAUUGGAAAGGCGGCGGCGGCGCGGCGCGGCUAGGGUUUCGGCGCGAGGAGGACGACGAGUCCGACAGGUGGGACCCACCUGUCAGCGGCCGAGCGCGCGCGCGCGGGCGGCUGCGGGCUGACUGGGCCUAAGAGGAGAGAGAGGGAAGGUUUUGGGCCGACUUUCGGCCCAAAGCCAAAAGAGAACUUUUAAAACCUUUUCCAAUUUAAAUUAUUCAUGAAAUGCAAUUCCAUUUAUUAAAAAUACUUCCUUGGCUCAAAUAAAUCCCAGAAAACUCCAGGAACUAUAGAAUCAAGCAAAGUAUUUAAUGAAAUUUUAUCUGGCCCCAUUUUAUAUUGGAAUUUAUUAUUUAAAAUUAGAUUUUCUCUUCUAGGCUUUUAAAAUCAUUUCUAAUAAUUCUAAUUAAACAACAAUUUAUAUAUUUAGGAUUUUUAGGGUGUGACACCUCUCAAUCUCGUCCACUGUAGCAUUUAUCUCUUCCCCUUUCAUCGGCUUCACCCAUCGCAUGUUGUUGCACCGUGCUCGGCAAUUCUGUUUGUUCAACUUGUUCGAUAUGCAGGCUCUGCAUGUCAAUGCCGAUAUUGUCCUCAUUAUGCUGGGAGACUUCCACAUUAAAUGCACUCGAUUGAGCACAUGCAUCUCCCUGCAUAUUGAACUGACCAAACGAACUGUUUGGUCGAGCCCUCCUCGGACAAGCCUGCACCAACAUGGCCAUCUUGUAUCCUCGGCGUCUGCAACCUUGCAACCAAUCCUUUCAUGAUUGACUUCGGGUUACUUCUUUCAGUUGCCAUUGGAUGUUUGUGCCCGAAUGACUCCAUAGCAGACUGACAUUAACACUAUAAACUUGUGGGUCCAAUGAGAAUGAGAAUGUCAACCAGUACCACACUUCGGGCAUUGUUAGAUUGUCCGGAUUUGGGUGAUACAGUGUGCAUUGACUAAAGUUGCUCAAGUCAACACCCAUUUCGUUGGACAUAAUAUCCCCAUCGCCAUAAUAUACUCUAAAGUUUGCUAUUCCUAAACAAAUAAACAAUUGCAUUACAUACGACCCAACUCUAAUCACACUAUAAGAAAUAUUACGAUAUAUGACUAAAAGUCGUAAAGUUAACUCUUAAUCAAAACUAUAGUAGUGAGUACGAGGUUGAUGAGAACGAUACUCACAAAUGAAGAUAUGGAUUAUGUCAUUUUCAUUUUGUAUGUGAAGCAUUUUGACGGCCUUUAUUAAACUAAAGGUUGGUGACAUACCUAUAAUUGAGUUUUUUUUAACAAAAUUUGGAUAUUAUUUAACAUAUGAAACUAUUGAAAAUUGAAUGACCUUACAAUUAAAAACAAAAUUCCCUUAAUAAAUCAUUCUUAUAUAUUUUUUUAUUAAAUUUUCAAUAUAUUAAAACACUCCCUCAAACUUUCUUCCAACUGUUCAAUCGAAGGAUUUAAUUUUUACAUCGCAAACAUCAUUUUAGCAAUUAGUUUAAAUGAAAAACAAAUCAAAUCCCUCCAUCACUGUUGGGCUGAUUUCGGCCCAUUUCCUACACUCAUCUGAUGGUGGGCUGAAAUCAAAAUGGGCUAAAAUCACCAAAGACUAGAGUUCAAUAGGUGGCUGAUUUUACCCACUUCCCUACACCAUGCUCCUCAAAUGGGCUGAAAUCAGCCCAAUACUAAUUGGGUAUUUUCUUUGCUUUUAUGUUUUUAAUAAUUGCUGAAAUUAUUAUUGCACUUUUAAAAUUACCAAUAUAGCUUCGAAAAUUUCACGAUAAUUCCAUAGAGUAUUUUAGUUCAUGGAGAAUUUCAGAAAAUUAACUCACACCAUGAUUUCUUAAGAAAAUUUAUUCCCUUGUUCAUUUUAUUAUUUUAAAUGAUUUGCACAUUUAGUGAAUCCCUAAAUCAAGUUUUAAUUUCAUAUUUCAAAGGUUAAGCAACAAUUAUAAUAUCAUAUUAAUAUAUGUUCGCUGGUUUACUAUCCAAAUGUAACAAAUGGUUCAUGGAUACAUAUUAAUGUAUUCAAAUUUUUUUACAUUAAUUUUCCACGCAACGCGUCUCUAAAUACUAUUGAAAUUUAUCCACGUAUUAUGUACAAUAAAACAUAAUACUCAACUAAUUUUGUUUCUAAAUACUCAACAUAAUACUCAACUAUUGAAAUUUGUCUCUAAAUGCAGCAAAUUUAACAACAUAAUAAUAAUUACCAAGUUUAAACACAUAAAAAUAUAUACAUGCUUACCUCUAUGUCUCCUAUUUAUUUAUCGUCCUUCUCCGAACUUGUAAUUUCUAAAUUUAAUGCACCACGUUCACACUUAUAACCUUCAAAAUAAUGAAUAUAUGUCAAUAAUAAAUCUUGCAAAAUCCAUACUAUUUAUAUCAAUCCCAACUGUCGUGCAAGUUACCUCUAAAUUUUGUUCUUUCAUUUGCCGUAUUCACUCUCAAAUGGUACACUCAACUUAAAAAUAUUUCUUACCACAUUCAAUUAUUCACGCGGCACGGCUCUAAAUACUAAUUAAAAUUUUCCCCUUACUAUGUACCCAAAAACAUAAUACUACAAUCAUUCUAAUCAUUCUAUGUACAUACUAAACUAAUAUAUUUUUUACCCAUUUCUCUAUCUUGUUCAGAUAUCGUACAUACAACUAAAGAAAUUUCGAUAUAUAUAUAUAUAUAUAUAUAUAUAUAUAUAUAUAUAUAUUUCUCCCCACGGCCUAACACACUAAUAAAAAUUUAUGCACAUCUUAUGUACAACAAAUAUAAUACUAAACCCAUUCUAUAUUCAAACUACAUUCAUACUACAUAUUUAUCGACUUCUAACGUAAGUGGUACCUAAAAUUUCUAAACAUGCCAUAUAACCAAACAAUUUAUAUGUAAUAUAUGAACACUAUCUAAAUUAUAACUUAUCCAAUACACUAAUAAUUACAUCUAAUGCACAAGCCAUCGCCACGUAUACUUGAUAAUAUUUAUAUUACUAAUUUACCUCUAUUUCUUCAAUUGUUGGAAGCUCACCAAAAUGUUUUCUCUAGCUCUCGUCUUUUUCACAAUGCUACUCUCUCUUCUGCAGGAGUAGCGUCUCCUCUCUUUUGUGCAGCUCUUGUGUGAGGGGCAUCACAUCUCUCACCCUCCCUCUUAGUUUAUGGGGUGAGCUUCAAACGAAAAGAAAAGACAUGAUUGACGUUUUUACUGUAUUGACGGCGCGGAUUUAUAUUUUGUCUACCUUUAGCAGCAGCACGCAUCGUGGGAGACAACUUCACGUGAAUGAGAUGACAAAGGAAGCACGCGGGAGCGGCACGGAUCUGCAUGCGGCCAAGUGGGAGCAUCGGUCCCGCGCUCCCGGAAUGAGCGACCACCACGGUCCCGCACAACCAAGGCACGCGACGGCCUCGGUCCCGCACGACCGGUGCGCGCGACUGCCCUACCCCCCUCCCUUCUGCGCAAAAGUUUAGGAUUCUCAGUUUGUUUUAACUGUGUGCAAAAUUUUAGGAAUGAUUGGACCUAAAGUUUAGGAGUGGUUGAUUUGUUUUAACUACACACAAAAGUUUAAAAGUGAUUGGACCUAAAGUUUAGGAGGGGUUAAUUUAAGAGCAGUCCCGCGUUUCCAAUAUGUGGCACUGUGGUGCGCGGGACCGAAGUCCGUCCUGCAUAAGCAUUCUGCGGGACCAAGCUGGUGCCGACCGGUCCUGCAAACCACCGUGAUGUCGCAUGCCCAAUGUGCGGGUGCGCCCCGGUGCCGCAUGCCCAAUGUGCAGGACCGCAUCCUCCAACGUGCGUGACUGCUGCGGGCACAGGUCCCGUGUCCCAAAUUCGCGCUUGCGCGUCGCUCCUGCAUCGCCGCGACACGGGUUAGAUCUAUUUUCGCAAAACUUGCCAUGGAUGUAUAUAAACGCAAAUUAUGCAAAAAAAAAAAAGGUAUAUUUUCAAUUUUUUUUCGUACAAUUGCCGCUCUCAUUCAUAACCAAAAACCUUGAUUAUUCUCGCUGCGUGUAUCCCAUUCCCACCCGCCCACCACAUAUCCUUUUCCUUUUCUUUUCUUUUAUUUUUUUUUGUUUUUUCCCGUUGGCCGGCCGUGCGGCCCGUGCCUCCUGCUAUAGUGCUAUCCAAACUGCGGUCCCGCCGGAGCCACGGGCCACGGCUACCCCUCGACCGCAUCGCCUCCUCUCCUCGCGCCCUCCGCCGCCGCCGUAGCCUUCUCCCCUCCCCUGUGCGGAAUCCUCCACGCGCGCACGGCCGGCGACCAGGUUUGUGCUGGUAAUCAUCCCUCCCUCUCUCCACUUCAUGAAUCAUGAGUAGACGCCCUGGCCAACGAAUCCAAGAAUUGUUUAAUUCUGCAUAGGGAUUUAGGGAGACGGGUGCUUUCGUGCUCUCCUAACGGUGUGAGUUUUUUUUUUUUUGGGUGGAGAGAAAUGUGUGCAUAUAUGAUCUAGUGUUGGUUGUUUACUUGUUGUCUAACCUUGUUAAUUUGUUGGAAUUGUGCGAGAACAGGGAACUUCAGCAUGCAACAAAUGGCCGUAUCUGCAUUCACUGCAAACCCAUCCUCAUCACAUGGCAAUACCUUAUCGGGGUUGUGCUCCCGUCGGCCUGAGAUAUGGCACAGGAGACGCAUCGGCAGCAGAAUUCGGGCGCAGGCGCAGUCGCAGAUGCAGUAUCGGAAGCUGGGAGAUUCAGACCUUGUCAUCAGUGAGGUCACUCUUGGAACAGUAUGUGCAUAUAUAACUGGAGAUCAUGUUUCCUGCUCUUGUUGUUUUUUACAUUUAAUUUUACAUCCCAUGCUAAUCCUGCUUUUUGUUCAGAUGACAUUUGGAGAGCAAAACACGGAGAAGGAAGCGCACGAUAUUCUUUCUUAUUCUUUCGAUCAAGGUGUCAAUAUCCUUGACACAGCAGAAAUGGUUAAUUAGUACAUUCCUUCUGUUUUCUUUUCUCCUGAUUUACGGAGCGGCAAUUGCUUUAGUUUUUCAUUUUGUAACAGCCUUUCUCCAUUUCGCCUUUAGUAUCCAGUGCCACCCAGAAAAGAGACUCAAGGAAGAACUGAUCUAUAUAUAGGCAGUUGGAUGCAAUCAAAGCCACGAGAUAAGGUAACUAAAAUAAGCUCUUGCAUUUAUUAUCACAUACUAAAUUAAGAAAAAAUAGGUAGGAACUAUGGCAUUCGCUAAGAGGAAUAUGGGCGUUCAUGUCAGAUAUACAAUUUGAAUCCAUGCGUGGGAAGGUUAAACACAGCCUGUCAGCCUCCACAGGAUAAUAGCUAUAGUCACUCAGGAAAUUCAUCAUCUUUAUUCAAUUUAAUAUGAUCAUUCUUUAACUUUGGUGUUUAGGGUCUAGGUAGCAUAAUUAUACUAACUGCAAUAAGUUGAAGAGUAUAAGUAAAUACAACUCAGACUUCACUACGAACAGUUCCCUGAAUGUCCAACCGAUGAUGGAAUAUCUGGCAGUGUUACUGAAACAUUGUGUUUGCGUGGUUUGUUUCUGUGCACCUAGAUUAUUCUAGCCACAAAAGUUUCAGGUUACUCAGAGCGAUCUACUUUUCUCCGGGACAAUGCGAAAGUAGUUCGUGUUGAUGCUGCCAAUAUCAAGGAAAGUGUCGAAAAGAGUCUUUCCCGCUUAUCUACAGACUACAUUGAUUUACUCCAGAUACACUGGUUAGUGCCUUUUUUUUUCUCGUAUAAUUUAGACGUCCUUGGCCAGCUUGAUUCGCACAAUCAUUUUCAGAAUGCAUAACCAUUCAUCGGAUUCUUUCAGCUAUCAGUUGUUUAUCUACAUAGCAUAUGGAAAAGUAUAUUUCUUUCAAAUAUUAUUUUCCAUCUGACGGGUAUAUACAUUAUUGCAAGAAGAAAAUUUAGUUUAUGUAUUAACAAGGACAUGUGGUGUCCUUUUUACCUACUGUUUCCUGUUGUUCCUGCUACUUUUGAUCUUAUUGCACUUACCUAGGGAUACAAAAUAUCUUUGGCUCUCAGUGUCUUGUAAUUUGCACUUCUCUAUUCUUAUCUUCCCAUACAAGAUUUAAUACAUUAUCUUAAAUUUUGUCAUAUAUCUGACACCGUGACUACCUAGCAAUUUUCCCUUUGGAAAGUAUACCAAUACAAAUAAUAUAUAUGACGAAAUUAGUGCACAUGUGUAUUCGAGAAAAAAAUGAUGAAAAUGGAAAUUGUAAAUUUGAGUUCUCUUUUCACCACUCAAUCCAUUGCCUGAUAUAAAUUGUUUUAGUGUAUCUGCUAUCUUAACAGAAAUACCGUGAGCUAUUUAACUAUUCACUUACACUUGUUUAGAUAGAAGUUACUCUCGUUAUACUUAUGUGUUUGAAGUUUCUAUCUUCACAACGAUGAACAAACAAGACUCAUCCAGAUGUUUGUUUUAUAUCUUCAGGCCAGAUAGGUAUGUUCCACUAUUUGGUGAAUACUGUUACAACCCAACCAAAUGGAGGCCAAGUGUUCCAUUUGAGGAACAGUUGAAAGCUUUCCAAGAGCUAAUUGAUGAAGGAAAGGUAAUGCAUUUAUACUGCAUCUUCACUUUUUGCACUUAGAAAGGAUUUUCUGUCAGUGAGUGGGACCGGUGGAUUACAAGUUUACAACCAUGUAGCUUCAUGCCUGCCCCUCAUAUGAGCCACCUUUCAACAGGGCAUGACACUUAUAUCUUUUAUCAUCCAGUUAAAGAUGUGUAUUUUUUAUAACAUAUGAGCGCAUGUAACUGUUGUCUUGGUAGAGGUGCAUUUGACUAGUUUCUAGUUUUUUUUUUUUUUCAAAAACUCACAGCAUAUUUAGAGUUUGUGAAUAAUGGCAAGUUGUAAACCAUUGUUUAAUUUGAUUUUAAUCACCGUUCUAGGUUCGCUAUAUUGGUGUUUCCAAUGAAACUUCAUAUGGAGUGAUGGAGUUUGUACAUGCUGCAAAGGUUCAAGGACUUCCAAAGAUUGUGAGCAUCCAGAACAGUUAUAGUCUAAUUGUGAGAUGUCACUUUGAAGGUUAAACUGAUAACAUUUAUCCGUUCACUUUAUUCAUUGCAAGACUCUUUCAUGCUCUUGGUUCUGAGCUUAAGUAUGAUAUAUCUUUGCCAUAUCUUUUGUUCAUAAACAUUGGUUACCUUGCCUGUUAUCUCCAACAAACAUGAGAUGCAGAUAAACAUUCAUUGUUAGAUAACUUAAUUUAUUGCUUUUCUUGAUUUAAGAUAAACCUAUUAAGCCCUAGCAAAAGCAAAAAUGAUUUAUACCAGUGUACUGGAUUUAUUCACAUAGUGGACAUUCACCAAAUUUUGUUUUUGAGCAGUUGACCUUGUUGAAGUGUGCCACCCAAAUAACUGUAAUGUUGGGUUGCUUGCCUACUCUCCAUUGGCUGGAGGUGUUCUCACUGGGAAGUAUAUUGAUACUAACCCUGACAUAUCAAAGAAGAGCAGGCUAAAUCUCUUCCCUGGAUACAUGGAGCGCUACAAUGCAUCGUUGGCUAAAGUAUGUGUACUCUACUCCAUCAAAUACUUCAACCAACAAACCAGUUAAAUCAAAACAUUUUCCGAUUCAUUUCUCAUCUGUCCAGUUUAUCAAAAUAUUUUUUUCUGUUCAUUCUCACCCGUAAAUGGUGACUUGCUGAUUGGUGCAUUUGUUUUGACAGGAAGCAACGAAUGAAUAUGUCAAGCUUGCCAAGAAGCACGGCCUAACUCCAGUCCAGCUUGCACUGGGCUUUGUGCGUGACCGUCCAUUCACAGCUAGCACAAUCAUCGGAGCAACGACCAUGGAUCAGUUGAAGGAGAACAUUGAUGCAUUUACCAGUGCUCCACGGCCUUUGGCACCGGAAGUUCUUGAUGACAUCGAAUCCCUCUUCAAGAGAUACCGAGACCCAACACUUUCGUAGGUGAGGAUAAAGAAAAAAGAACGCUUUCGUAGGUGUUUAUUCAUCUUUUUUUCCUAUGAAUGUGCCUUCCACAGACAGGAGCCCAGAAACUAGUUGUGCUUUUGUGGUUUCACCGUAUCAUCCAUGCCAACAAGACAUGGAUUUGUCUAUUCUGUUGAUUUUAUGAUUAAUGGCACCACAAAUUUUUUUUCCCAUCAGUAUUUUGCUGCUCUGGAGACGUUUUUAAUUAUGAUCACUCACUGUAAGUGUUUAAGUCCCACAGGAAGGCAUUCAUAUACCUCAACUAAAAUGUGUUUGAGGUUUAAUCAACUUAUCACCAAAGGACAUCCAUGUGCAGCUUGAAAAUUACAACUGGAUGAAAGAAAUGCAUUUCUACAGCUUCAUUGUUGCUCCCCUUACCGGGGAAUUUACCCCUGCUUACCUGCAUAAAUGAAAGCUGUUACAGGAUGCACCGUGUGUCGGCAUCACAUCUUUGAGAUGUGCUAUGAAGCAUGAGAUAUAGUACUGGGCGACUUACUGCCCACUGAACGUUGGUUGCUAAAAUAUGAACCCACAAGCUGGGUGACUCACAUGUCAGUCACUUAAAAUUAAAAUAAGAGGUUGUAAGUUAGAACAUCUAUUUCUAGUGGUAGGUUCCUAGCGACCUAACCUGGAAGGAAAAUUCGCCCUUGCGAAUUGCUUGAUACACUAUCCACACGAAUAACUUGAUGCACUAUCUUCCAUUCACCCCUUUGAGCGAAUAACCGAUGCAUUAUCUCCCCUCAACUCUUUGAACGAAAUAUGACAAGAAAAAUCCAUGGGUAGUUCUGGUAUAUGGCUUCAAUGUAUUUGCCUACUCCCUCAGUCCUAAAAUAAACCGAUUCCUGGGGCAGAGUGGUUGUCCCACAAAAAAAUCGAUUCGCGCCCAGAAAACGAGACACAUUCAAUAUCUUGCGUGGUCAUGGGUGGUCCAGAAGGAGCUAGAGCGUCCCAACUUUUCCUUUCUCUCCGUUCACACGGCAACCUUUCCUCUCCCAACCUCCCUCUUUCGCUUCUCCCACUCAAUCUCUCCCUCCAACUCCGCCCUCUUUCCGCUCCUAUCUGCAAGGACAGCGGCUGUUCUCCUAUCUGCAAGGACGGCGGCAACAGCCACCGCGAUGGCGCAUGGUGGCACAUGGAUGCAGCGGCGACGGCGGCGGUGAUGGAUGGAUGCAGUGGCGGCGGCGGGAUGAGGCGGUGACAGCAGGAGAUGGAUGUGGCGGCAACAGUAGGAGAUAGAUGCGGCCUGAUGGAUGGACGCGGCGGCGGCGGUAGCGGCGAUGGAUGGAUGCGCGGCGGAUGGACGCGGCGGCGGCGGAUGCAGGAUCCCGAUUUCAUUUUUUUUUCCUCUCUAUUCCUGGUUAGGGAUGGCAGUUUUGCCCAUUUACCCGUUUACCCGCGGGUAAAAACCCUAAUAGAGCUGGGUUUGUUCUCCAUUUAGUACCCAUGGGUAUUUUUUUUGGGUCAAAACAUAUACCCAACGGGCACACGGGCACGGGCAUGGGUAGUCACUACCCAUGCCCGCUUCGCCCGUUUACCCGCGAAACCAACUGACAUGUGGGCCCUCAGUCAACUUAGUAUAAAAACCACCAUCUAAAAUCUUUAGGGUUUCUCUCCCUCCGGCCUCCUCCCACUCCCACUCCCAGCCGCCUCUCCUCCCACUCCCAGUCCCAGCCGCCUCCCAGCCUCGACUCCUCCUCCCAGCCACCCCGGUCUCCGCCGGCGCCCCUACCCCCGCCGCCGGCGCCCCCACUCCCGCCGCCGGCCGCCGGGCAGUCGUCGCCGUGAGGGGACGAGAGAGGACGGGAGGGGCUUUGCCUCACGGCCGCAGAAGGGGACGGGAGGGGCUUUGCCUCCGGGAGGGGCUUCACCUCUGCGCCGAGCACCCCUCCGGCCGGUCGUCCUCCAUCCAGGCCCCCUCCGUUUGCGGCCGCCGUCGCUGCUGCUUCCUGCCUCCACUGCGCCGAGCCGUGGUCCCCCCUCCCCCCGGUCGCCGCCGUCUCCGGUCGCCGCCGCCUCCAGUCCUCCGCAAGGUAUUCCCCUUCUUUUCCCCUUCUAUUCCCCUUCUCUCCUCUAGAUCUAGGUAUCUAUUUUUUUCGAUCUAGUCUCUCCUGAUUUUGAUCUAUUAUUUGUGAUUUGAUUGCUAGUGAUUUGAACUAAUGGCAACUCCAGCAAGCAGCAGCAAGCAUACAAAUACUCCGGCGAGUAGCAGCCGGCGUGCUACUCCUCCGGUCAGCAGCAGCCAGCCUGACCGUGAGCAAGCCUCACAAACUGCUCCUCCUGUUGGUGUGGAUGCAUCUGCAGAACAUGCUGAACAGGAAGAAGAAGAAGAAACUUUACAUGCGAUGGCUUGUUUGGCUGCCUCAAAACUAUGUCAUUUGAAGUUUGUUGAUUGUGCUAAACUAUGUCAUUUGAAGUUGUGAUUAAUGAACUUGUAAUGCUUGUAUUGAACUUGGUACUAUUGUACCAUUUCUUUAAAUUCUUUAAAUUGUGACAUUGUCUUUGCUUGUGGGAAACUGGGAAUUAUAGUUGAACUGAUCUUGGACGGGUAAACGGGCAUACCCGCGGGCACAUGGCGCCCGCGGGCAACGGGCAUGGGAAGUACUCCUUGCCCGUCACGUAGUAACGGGCAUGCCCGCGGGCAUAAAUUACCUCGCGGGCACGGGCAUGGGUAGUCACUACCCGUGCCCGUCGUGCCCGACUGCCAUCCCUAUUCCUGGUCCUUCUUUGUUCUUCUUCUUGUUAUUUUUUUUCCUCUAUUCCUGGUUCUUCUUUGUUCUUGUUCUUGCUAUUGUUCUUGUAUGUGAAUUCAAACCAUUUCUUUUUCUUAGAUUAGAGAGAUGUUCCUUCCUUGCGGCAAUGCAUUUCGUUUUUUCUUCUUUUCCUAGUACUACUCCUUCUCUAAAGUACUAGUAGUAGUACUACUAGUUACUAAAUUAAUGUGUGCAGAAUGCAGAGAUUGGGAUUGGGAUUGUUGAUGGAUGUAGUUAAUGAGGGUACUUCGGUAAUUUCACAUGAACCCUAAACUAGCCUCGAGAAUCUAGGAAUCGAUUUUAUUUAGGCCGGAGGGAGUACUUGUCGUAAUCACAUGAUUUCGAGUGUUUAGGUUUCCACCAUCUGUUGAUUAUAAGUACUUUUUUUACAUUUCCACCACAUCAUGCAUGUACAUGAGUUACCGCACACAUUACCAGUAUUCGCCAUUCAAGCCAUUAAUAACUUGCUACGCUAACAUAAGUACUCUAUAUCCUCUACAACUAAGUGAGUUCUACAGUGAAGCUAGGCAUAAUAAUUGCAGAUCAAGAGACCAGUUAGCAUUAUCUCACAUCUCCCCAUAUCAUGCACCUGAUGAAUGAAGCAAUUCUUCGUCAUCAGAAUAGCCAAAAUCUUGAGACGGAGAGCAGUCAAAAUCUUGUGAUUUCCAUGUGUGGUUUUUCAGUGUCCUACUACCAUCCCUGUGUCCAUUCUCUGCCAGUUGUUGGUCUUGCAAUUCAAGCUGUCUUCUUACCCAAGGAGGAUCAUCUGCACGAAGCCACAGCUUCUCGCCAGUGUCCUUGUGCUUGAAAUCAGGAUAGUAGGAGUAUGGCUUGGAUUGUCGGUUGUCCCACCAUUCGUAAGGGCUAGCGAAGAAGACCUGCCACAAGCGAAGCCGAUCUAUGUACUUCUUUUCUGUAAGUAUUUCAUCUAACUUUUGAAAAGUACAAGGUUAGAAGAUUUGGUAAAUAAUAGAAAAGAAUAUAACUGUACAAGAUAACUCAGCAGAAAUACCUGUGGUAGACAGCAUUGAUGAUUUGUCUGAAGAAUUCUCAUCAUUUUGAGGCCUCUGAUUUUGAUCAAGAACAUAGUUUAGGUCUGUGACAUGUAUCUAUAAAAAAGACGGAGUUAGAAUCACAAUGGCAUGGAAGGGAUAUUGCACUGAAAACAUAUUUUCUUGGCCACAAAUAUCACAAUGCGUUGCUAACUAAACAUUUGUCAGAGGAAAUCAGGUAAGGACAAUUUGAAGAACAGCAAUAGGUGAAGGAGGGCUUGAAUGGGGAGAAACAGAAUCUAGAAUGAACAGGGAGAGAGAAGACAGUCAAGAGAAAAAUACAGCAGGAACCAGUACUUCUGGAUGGAGGAACUUCCUUUAUUUCUUCUAAGGUAUCAAGCAUACUAACAUGUUUUGGUGCAACUUCAACAACUCUUGACUAUGUAUCUCUGAUAUAACUAAAUGAUGCAUCUAACUACUAUUACAAAUUUCAAGGUUCCAAAUAGCAGCGGUGGUAGCAGCCAGUGCUCGCAUUAGCAGUAGUGGGUACUACCGCUACUGAGAUGAGGUACAGCUGCAAAAUAGCGGGUUACAAAAUAGCAACUGCUAUAUGCACUGGAGUCUGAAGUCUGAAUUUUAAAGUUUAAUUUUGUAGUUGCAGUGUUAAGUCAUGUUGGCUACUUGAGAAUCCAGAUCUAAACUUUGACUACCUUGUUAAUUACUACCACUUUUCGUGCAUAUACUAGUGAGUUGUACGUCUAUCUAUAUCUUUUAUGAGUGUUUCGGACCUAUAAAUGUCACCAUUUUAUUGUGUUAAGAGAGUUGUGAACUCUUGAUGUAUGCACGAUUAACUUAAAAAAAUUGAGUUUUUUUAUUCCACUAAUAUAGCAGGUGGUAUCUGCUAUUCCAAUGUCAAUCCACUACUAACCUGCUAUAUACUAGUUAGUGCAAAAUCUACUAACCAACUAGCACAAACUUUCCUCAAGGACAUGGUGCUGUUAUUUGUGGACAUCAAACUCUUUCUAUGAACCUGUUUCCAACUGCCACUCCUGUAGCUUUUCUUCCCUUGUUGACAAUUAUGCACAUCCACCACAAAAGGUGUUCACAACACAAAAGCAGCACGGAACAAGCAAACAUUCUGAGCAAACUUUGUAUUUUUAAUUUGAGCUAAAGUUCUGAUGUUAAUAAAUGUUCUGCAUACGAAGAUGUAUAAUCUAUAUAAGCGAAGGUUGUGGAAUAGAAAAUAUAUUAGAGAAGGCACAAUCUGGUGACAUACAAAUCAUCAAGGUCCUAGGGCCUAGGUGUGCGCUCCUUUUAUAUUUCACAAAGAACAUCAAAAAGUGUUCAAAAGAAGUUAUCAUUGACAAACCUUGUAGAACGUAUGCUUCUCUCCACUUGGAUCAACUUUAUGAUAUGAAUUCAGAAGGCCAGAUACAUAAACAAGGUCAUUUUGUUUCAAAUGCUUUAGGCUUACAUGUGCCAGCUCGCCUUGCAAAUUCAAUGUCACACUGUUCAAGAUCAUAAUAACAUUGUAAAAAUGGUGAUAAACUCCAUUACACGAAAGUACAGGAAUCAUGAGCCGAACAAGACUAUAUACAUUUCAUUCAUGCUCUACAAAAAGGACAAGAAAAUAAACCCUCAUUAAACCAUGCAUACCUUGAAUAUCCCCUAUACGAUUAACAGGUUUGUGAAAGAAAAUGAGACUCUGCUAAGCUGAUUCAGUUUUACUCCAAUCAAUAUUCUCUUUUUUGAUAGAUAUAUACAGCAUGUACUAAGAAUGAAUCUGUUAAAACAAUGUAUAAACACAAAUUGGCCCUAGAACUCAUAAUAAUAAAAAUAAGUACCCAAAGUUAAACAAUGGCCUUCUCAUCAAAACAAUUUGGAAAUGCAAGCUGAACAUGCCUAGUACAAAUGAGGGGAAAGACUUAGGACUAGAUGAAUUUUGCAGACAACAUGAAUGAAAAGGUAAUUCCUAACAUAAAUGAAAAGGUUAUUCCAACCCAUAGCACAGUUAAAUGUAGCAAUUAAGCACCAUAAAUCAAUUAUUACAGAAUGGGCAUCCAAUCACACGAACCGACCGCAACAAGCAUCACAAGAUUGAACUUACUAUGAGCGCACACAACUAAGAUUACUAAGAAGAAUUAGCACUAAGAUAGACCAAAGAAAGGCCUUCCGUUUCUGUCAGGGAUCCAAACUAAUUGCGAUUCAGGGAGAAGAGUGGGGUCGCUACCGGAAGUUGGACGGACUCGAGGAGGGCGGGGAUGAGGGCGAGGAGGAGACCGACAGGAAAGUGUACGCCAUGGGCCGCUCGUCGGAGCUGCCACCGCACGGGCGCACCGGCCCGUCGAGGCGGCCGAUGAGGCUGCACGAGUUCCUCGGGAGCCCCCUCCUCGGCACGACAGGGGGAGGCCGGAGCAUGGACAUGCGGUACGCCACGCUCUCCACCUCCUCCCGCCCUCCUGCGUGGAGGGACCGCCGGAGCGCCGCGGCCGCCGACGAGCGCCCCGACUCGGCGGCGCCGGCGAGGGAGCGCAGCAUGGGGACGUUUCGGGGAAGUGAACGGGGAGAGAGAUCUGUGGGCCCCCACUGUGAUGCCCUUAAUAUCCCUGAACGGAAAAACAACGGGUCCCCCAAACCUAGAGUAAAUUUCCAAAACUACAUGUUUUAUAGGGUUAAGUGGUAGAAAAUCACACAUAUUUUGAUCCUUGGCACUUAAGUACAUAUAUUUUGGUAAUUUAGUUUUACAAAACCACACUAUCGAUGAAUGUAUUCACCUGCGAGAUGACGUGGAUGUUUUAUCUAGGAUAAGGACGUGACAUCCUAUUAAUUUCGUGCGAUGGCGGGUAAUAUGAUGUCAUGUCCUCGUCCUUCAUGAAACAGUCACGUCAUCUCGCGAGUGAAUCCAUUCAUUGAACCAAAAUAUAUAUACUUAAGUGCCAAGUGUCAAAGUGUGUGGUUUUCUACAACCUGAACUACAAAACGUGUACGUUUUGUGAAAUUUACAAAACCAGUGCAAACCUCGAUUUACAAAACCAGUGCAAACGAGGUGUCAGUAUUAUCCUCGGUUUUAGCUGACGUGUUAACUACGUGGCUAAUUUGACUAAUUCUUUGCCCUGUGUGGUAUUGAUGUGACGCUUAUAUAGUACCCCUCAUUCCCAAAUUGAUCCUCAUAUAUAAAUAUAAGUUUAUGCACCAAGACCAAGGAUAAUUUAAAUCAUAUCAAUCAAGGCACCAUACACAUAUUUUUCCACAAUACAUGCAUCGAUUAAAACACCAUGCCAAUUACUCCCAUGCAGCAUUAAUUGUAUUCUAAUGAAAUCCGUGUUCAUGCAUGUAUAUGAUGAUCAAUUUGAGAAAUUUUAAAUUCUAUUAUAUGAUGAUCAAUUUGGAAAGGAGGGAGUAGUUUAAUUAAAAAAAAUAAAAGGAGCAAAGCUGAAAACUAAAUCUAUCUAUAUCUAUAUAUACCUAAUUUAAAAAUACAUAAGGCUUCCGCCUUCACUUUCGUCCGUCACCCCUUGCUUCCCCCUCUCUCCCCUCCCUCCUUCCUGGUGCCCUGAUCUUCACACGCUCCCCCUGCCCAUGGCCCCUCUUCUCCCUGACGUCCUUCCUCUCCCACCUCUCCCGGCGACCCUCCUCUCCCGCCUCCAUCCUCCCUCACGACACCCCACAUCUAUACCUCGCCGCACGUCCUCCCCCUUUCCCACGACAUCUCUACUCCUUGGCAUCUCUCCUCUCCCCUGCGUAUCCUCCUCUUACGCAUUCAAGAAAAACGGAACCUCCUCGUUCGGGAACACGUUUUGAUGUACUCACCCGUCCAUGUUCACCACAAGAGCUUCCUAUUGUCGUUUCUUUCUCUAUCGGGACCAUGUUGUUGUCAGCCGUGUUCCCAUUGUUCUGGUUUGCUUCAUUGCCAACCACCACCAUCUAUGGACGAGUCACAUCAUGGGACACGUCCGACCACCUUACUCAUCCCUGUUUGGUCGCUGGAGCACUGUUGCCGAUCUUCCCUCCUCUUCUGUUGGUUGUGUUGGUUAGGGAAGACGAUGGACAAUAUUAUUGUUUUUUAUUCAUCUUUUGUUCUUCCCGCGCGUUCAAGGAAAACGGAAUCUUCCGGGACCGUGUUUUCACACACUCAUCUAGUCGUGUUCACCACCAAAACUUGGUGUUAUCGUUUCUCUCUCUAUCUGGACUACGUCGUUGCCAGCUCCACUCACAUAGAUCGGAUGCAAAGUAUGGUUAUGCGAAAGAUUGCAGCAUCAAGAGCUAAACCAGAAACCCAGUUUGAAACUACAUCCAUCUAGUUUACAGUUUACACUACCCACCAGAUGUUUUGGUUUUGCUUCUUUGUAAACUAUCAGUACUAGUACCUUUGUUUACACAGUCAAAUGGAUUACAUAAUGAAUAAAAUUUCUCUGGGUUCUUAAGGAGAUUUGUACAGUGAAAUGGUACUGCGGUUUCAUACUUUUUCCUCCCCCCCCCAAUGUUAAGCUAAGCAGAAUUUAUGUACUAAUAAAUCUAUUCAUAAUUUAUUGUACUACUUAAAAUCUAUUCGUAAAUUAUUCAACAAAAAAAAACCGGUUCGUCCGAGACAAGAACUUAGGACAUCUCCAACCCUCCAUAUUAUCUACUAUCAAUAGCAUUAAAUACAUUGCCACAUAAGCAAAAAUAUGAUGUGGCAAAAGAGUUAAUAAUGAGAGAGGUAAAAAGAUGAAGAAAUCAUUUCUCAUACGAGAAACCAUAUCUCAUACAAGAAACCAUAUCUACACAGUAACCAAGAAUGAAAAUAAUGGGAUAGGAGGGUAAAAGGAGAGAGAAGAGAGAUGAUUGGAUGGUAAUUUAAUUUGAAGACACUAUCUAUUGGAUGUAUAGUUUCUACACAUAGUGUCUAUAUUAUAUGGCAAGUAUGGAAACUACUUGAUAGUUUCUGGGUUGGGAUAGCCUUAGGAAGAACUGAGUUGAAGAUGCUACUCCCUCCGCCCAAAGCGGAAUUGACCGAUGGUGGUUGGUCGAAGCUCCAGUGGGUCCCAGAAUAUAAACAUUUUUAAAGUUGGAUAAAAUUAUUAAGAAAAUUGGUAGGAUUAAAUAGGAGAGUGUUGUGAUUGGAGAAGAAGUGGAGGUAGGUAAAAAAAUUGAAUGGUGGAGAAUUAUGAUUGGUUGAGAAGAAAAUGUUGGUGAAUAAGUUGUUAUAUUUUGGGACAAAUUUUAAAGGCUAGAAGUUGUUAUAUUUUAGGACGGAGGGAGUAGAAAGUAGUGUAGUAUAUAGUAUAGACUAUGGUUUAGAAAGUCGUUUAGGACAAUGUUUCAGUCAAACCUUACGAAUGUAAAUCAUAAAAUAACUUAGUUUGAAAAUAUAAAAAGUAUAUGAACAGAUUUGUCUUGAAAAAUACUUUUAUUAAAGUAUAUAUAUAUAUAUAUAUAUAUAUAUAUAUAUCAUUUUUUAAUAAAUAUUUUUAUAGAAGCCAGAAGUUAAAAUUGUGUUUUAGAGAUCAUGUCGCUGUCCAAAACGAGUUUCUGAGUACGGAGGGAGUACUUGAGACCGGAGACCGGCGGAGACGUAGCCGCAAGCGGAAAGAUAUCCCGGCGAGGGAGAUCGACGAGGACGAGGUGGCGCUCAGCUGUGUGCGCUGACAGCUGGCACAUCAACAUGAGCGAGCGGGAGGUCAUGGGGGGAACUCCUCCGUCGGAGCUACCGCGCGCCGGCGAGGAGGCCUAGGCGGCGGCGGCGGCGAGGCUGCAGGAGAGGACCCGAGAUGUGUCUCUUUUCGGUUGCUUUUGGGUUUAGUAUGGGCUUUACUGGGCCUUCGCCCUUUUCACUUCAAUGUUGAAUGGGCCGCUGACAGGUUGCCCGUUGGCAGCACGUGGGCCUGCCGAUGUCACGCUCGCUGUCGCUGGGCGGCACAUCAUAUGGGCAUGGGCUGUAUCUUGGCGGUGUUUAUGUUGGGUUGGGUAUUUACGUGGGCCAUCAAUGCGGGCUGGUUUUCAGCUCAAUAUUGACUAGUCUAUACUGCUCAAUGUUAGUAGCGAUGAUAUCCAUUCUCAUAUAACCCCUACCAGUUAAGUUUAUGUCUCACAAUCUAUGCUACACCAACUUUUAACAGGUUCUCCCUCAUUUCACUAUUACCUCCAUCAAAAAAAAAAUCAAAUCACCUACUUGUUCAAUAUGUAUUUACUUAGACUAAAUAAUUGUUUAUUAAUUGAUUUAGUAAAUUAGAAACUGAAUUUGUUUUCUGUUGAAACGGAUCGGCUCUAGGCUACUACAUUACCUUGAGAUAAAAAGGGAGCGAAUUUUCGUCAAGUCUCAUUAAACUAAACCAAACCUCACAGGAGUACAAAUAAAUAUGCAAAAUUUACUACAAGACAUCGAAAGAUUGCGGCUUUUGCUGUGAGACACCCGAAGAUCGUGUAUUUGCUCGUGGACACUACAAAAAAGUGGUAAUUAGUUACUGGACACUCCUCCCAUUAUUUUAUUAUUUUUGGUCAAAAUAGAGAGAGAAAGAGCUGUGUAAGUUCCCAUUCUUCCUAGCGACGACGGCCGGCCCGAGCCAGGAUGGCUCGGCCACGGCGGGGCGGCGGCGCAUCGCCGGAGUUCACCGCCAACGGCGAUGACACACAGCGGCAUCCCUGCGCACGGAUGAGGUCGGCAAAGCUUGGUCGUCGACGAUGGCUUGCGGAAUGUCUCGGCGGCGGCGCUUCACCUUGGAUGAACGACGAUGGCUCGAUUUCUUCAAAGGACUGCCAUGCAUGCAUGUAUUUCGUGUUAGAGAUGUCCAUGCGAGGCUACCAUGGCAAGGAAUCGGAUUGGGACUCACUGGAGAGGGAGAAAUCGAAGAUGGAGCUCGGCAGCCGGAGUUGGAGAAGAUGAUGCCGAUCUCCAAGAUCGUUGCGCCAUUGGAUGGGGUACUUGGGAGUAAAAGGAGAGGAGGUCGAGGUGAAGCUGAUGGCAUGGUGGCUCGGCUUGCAAUGGUCCACUGCACCCCGAACGGCGACAACGUCAAGGCGGCGAUGUGCAGAGCGUGCUCCAAGGUCGGCGAUGACACGACGGCGUUCCCGUCGAUCCGCUACACGAGAGAGGAUGUAAUCAAAAGGAAAAAUCUUCGGCAUGUUAAGGUGAGUAUGGAAUGGUGGUAAGGUAGAGAUGAAGAUAGCUCUUUGGUGACAUCGCGCGUUGUCUUCUUCAUGGCUGGCGAGGGAUUUGAGGGCGAUGAAGAGAUUGAGAGCUUCCUCUCUCGGUUUGGUCGACACUAGAGCCGGAGUUCACUGCCGACGGCGACGACGCACGACGGCUCGGCCAUGGCGGAGCUCGGUGGCGGCGCAAUGAGAAAGAGAGGAACAGAUCGAGAAAGGGAGGAAGAAGAACAUAGAAAGAGAGAUUGACAAGUGGGCCCAUGGGCAAACUUGUCUUUAACCAAAGUUUCUCUCUCUAUUUUAACCGGAAAUAAUAAAAUAAUGGAAGGAGUGUCCAGUAGCUAAUUACUAUUUUUUUGCAGUGUCCACGAGCAAAUACACGAUCUUCGGGUGUCUCAUAGCAAAUGCCGCAAUCUUUCGGUGUCCUGUAGCAAAUUUUGCCAAAUAAAUAUGAGUAGAAAGUACUACUGCAUGGAAUGCAAAAGUUUGUUUCCACGUCAUGCAUGUACGAACCAUGAAUCAAGCUUAUUCAGAAGUCCGAACAAUACUUUUCUUCUCUCCCCUAUAAUAUAACAAAAAAUUAUAAAAAAAAGAUUUUAUCUGCUGCCAUCCGUUGACUGACGAAGACACAUCAGGUUGCACACACGUCCUAUGCACUUGUCCGAUAUUCUGCUGAGCAUAAAUUGGAAUUUUGUUGGAUUAGCUAUAUUUGGACAAGGAGUAUGAAUUGGACCAACCCAACCCAAUGCAGUGAUGCACUGUAUGUGCUAGACCUUAGAUAGUACUACAAGAUAAGGGUAAGGUUCAUUUUUAGCGUUGUUCGAAGUCUAUUUUGCAUCUACAAAACUGGUUAUUUUCAUCGUCAACUUCUAAAACCGGAAAGACAAUUCAACACCCCAAGACAAUUUUUUGUAGUUUUGUUUAAAAUAGAAGCAGUGUUUUCCUAGUUUGUGUUCCCAUUGCACACGUUCAGUUAAUGCAGGUGUCAAUUAAUUAAUGAAGUUCACGUGUUAGUGAAAAUACAUUAGCAAUAAUAUGUUUUAGGGUGUCAUAUGUGUCUAGUUUUAAAAAUUGAAAGUGAAAAAUAACUGGUUUUGCAAUUCAGAGCAAAAGGGUGACUUUUAGCAAAACUAAAAAGGGGCUAACAAUAGACUUAAUCCGCUGGAUAAUUAAUUUUGGAUGUCCUUUUAAUAGUAUCUUUUAGUGUAUUAAUUCAUCCAUGAGUUGUGUAUUAAGGCUGGAUAAUAACGAGUCAGCUCGGCUCGAUAAGUGUUAGCUCAUUUUAGCUCUCGUUAUCUUAAUGAAUCAGCUAGGCGCGGCUUGUUACCGUUAACGAGCUAAAAGCUUGAUUUCAGCAAGCUUGUUAAGCUUAUUAGUAAGUUCUAUCUCAUUUAUAACACUUUUAUAAUUUUAUAUUAACCAUUUUGUCAAACAGUAAUUUAAUAACAAAUACUGACUAAUAAAGAGAUUGGUAGAUUUUUUUUUAUUUUGAACUCCUUAAUUUUAAAAAUAAACUCUCUAAAAACUUAUCUUUCCAAAUCUGAAUCAUUUGGCGAUAUCAGCCACGUGGCGGUAAAACAUUGAUACGCCAAACACUUAAUCCUUAAAGCUAUUAUGGAUAUCUGAGCACAAAUUCGAAAAUGCCAUAUAGAACUAGAUGAUGAGGUAGAGGAGAAAAGAGAGAAGAAAGAGAAAGAGUCACCCUCAUGCAAGGGACUCUUUCUAUAAAGGUGUCAGGGUUAUGGAUACCACAUAUCUAAUAAUAGUUGACUAAAUCUCAGCAGCACCCACCACAUACCAUAUCCUAUACGGAAAUAACCUGCGGAUAUAUGGAGGGAGUUUCGGAUAAGGAAAGACAUCCAGAGUUCUACAUGGAAACGACAAGGACUACUCGAAUUGUAUCCAUAUUGGUUUCCCUAGUUCUACUUGGACAAGGGGACACCUAUGGUUAUAAAUACAAGGCCCCCUAGGAGGAGAGGGGGGACAAUCAACACACCCACCAUAGAAGACACCCAUCACAAUCAACAUAGACGCCACAAAGCCAAUACAAGCCAACAUACGUCAAGACAAGACGCCGGAUAUCGAUUUCAGGGAUAAGCACAGCUAGUCCCCUACGGUGUCUCCGGAUACUGUCAGGAGAGACGAAAGCGUUAUCUCUGAUCUCGCUGGGCACAAACUCGAGGAGGAAGACUACCCUGUUGUCGACUAUGAGUCAGACCUUCAUACCGCCAUGUCGACAACAGUUAGAUAGGCGACCCCAUACUAUUGUACUGGUGUGAUUAUGGUGAAUAAGAGCAAUACCGGCUUCGGCCAACAGGAUGUAGUGUUAUUACCUGAUAAUUCAGAGGCCCGAACAUGUAUAAAAAUCCCUGUCUCUGCCUCUCUUACCUCAGUCUCGCGUAUAUCCUAGUACCAACGAUCUCCAUACUAGAAGGCCCAUGCAGUUUUUCGAAUACAUACUCGAUAUUAUCUGCUAUAUGUCUUGCCUUCUAGAAAAUAUUUUUCAGGAACAAUUGAGCACUCGAGUAGGUUGUGGUCAAGUACACCGCAUUGUCGAGAACGAUCUCGACAAAUGCAGAGUCAUCGUGCCCAACCUACCAACGAAGACCGACGACCUAUCUCAUAGCACCGGCCAUGGCUGGACUACUCGAGAAAAGGUUGUUAACAGAUAAUUCCUCGUGAACGCCGUCGGCUUGAUCACCUGACAUGAUUGCGAACGGACAUCCGGAUAUGCUACAAGUUGGGUGUGUGAGUCAUGCUGGCCACAUGAGACGCACGUGUAAUAAACCAACUCUAGCGCUUCCUCAGAUGGUUGAGGUACGACUACAGCAAUAACGCAGCGGUCCUCGUACCACGACUUCAAAUGAUCGAGAGAUACCUACUCACUGGUUCUCAACCAGUCAAUCGUAGCGAUCUCUCAUAUAUUUACUUCUAGUGGUUGAGUUACGACUACUAUCUGGUUCUUGACCAGAGGUGUAGCGAUUCUCCCAUUACCUCUACUUCAACAAAGUUGAUAUCAGGUGCACAAUAUCGCCAAGUGUUUUACCCAGAGAUCCCUUACCACAAAAGACACCUAGCGUUGAAACCUAUCCUAAUGUCCCUUUUACGCCGUCUUGACAAAGCCUCUGAGGAACCUAAGGGAACUUCGGCUGGGGACGCCCAUAGCGGAUAAGGCUUUGUCGGAUCCUUUAGAGACGAAAGACCAUGUAAGAUCUGGUCGUGUAAGAGUUCUCGUCUUGCGUAUUAACCAAGCCAUGCAAUCGGAAAUGGAUUUUCUAACUUCACGGCUGGGGGCUAGGAUCAGUGCUUGUUCAACCGAGGCAGGUCAAAGGUCUAAGAGCCUUAUCCUCCGAGAACGAUUCUCCGACGACAAGGCUGGGGCUAGGGAGAGUGUAUAACUCAACAGACUGACUGAUCGAAGUCGGUAAGAGAGUAGACGCUCAUAUACAAAACAUUGGUCUGUAAGUUUAAUUCAUUUUCGAUUUUCCAUACAUAUUAUAACAUGUCACCCUUUGAGCAUUCGCUCAGGGGCUAUUUCUAUCUAAUAUUCUUUUCUGAGUAUUGAUUUCAAGAAAAUUCUAUUCGGCAUUGUCGAAGACUCCAUGUCUCUAUGGUUCUACACCAAGAUCGACUAAGGCGAGUACGACAAAUGUUGACAAGGCUCCGUCGCAGACUCUACACCUACUCGAUUACUCGAGAACGGUUGGUGGAUCUCGACAAGGAAUACAAAAUGAAGAGAUGGUGUACCCGCCGAGAUAAAAUUUCUUGACUUCAAUCCAAAUUCUCGAUUACAGCAAGACGGGAGACUUAGUCGCACGCUCUGUACUUUCUCGGUUGACACCAGAGAUUGACUCAGACAAACCCUUUAGGUGCCCGCACGAGGCUGAUAAAGGAAGUUCGAGGCUGAUAAAGGAAGUCUAACAUUAUCUCUGAACUCACCGAGAAUGGUCACAUGAGCUCGAUAACAGUUACUCCAAGGUUUACACGCGGUUGAGAAUAUGAAUUCGUUCAUUUGCAUCGAAGUCGGGGGCUACUGUCAGGGUUAUGGAUACCACAUACCUAAUAAUAGUUGACUAAAUCUCGAUAGGACCCACCACAUACCAUAUCCUGUACGGAAACAACCUGCGGAUAUAUGGAGGGAGUUUCGGAUAAGGAAAGACAACCAGAGUUCUACAUGGAAACGACAAGGACUACCCGGAUUGUAUCCAUAUUGGUUUCCCUAGUUCUACUUGAACAAUGGGACACCUAUUGGUAUAAAUACAAAGCCCCCUAGGAGGAGAGGGGGGACAAUCAACACACCCACCAUAGAAGACACCCACCACAAUCAACAUAGAUGCCACAAAGCCAAUACAAGCCAACAUAUGUCAAGAUAAGACGCCAGAUAUCGACUUCAGGGAUAAGCACGGCUAGUCCCCUACUGUGUCUCCGGAUACUGUCAGGAGAGACGAAAGUGUUAUCUCUGAUCUCGCCGGGCACAAACUCGAGGAGGAAGACUACCCUGUUAUCGACUACGAAUUAGACCUUCAGACCGCCAUGUCGACAACAGUUAGAUAGGCUACCCCAUACUAUUGUACUGGUGUGAUUAUGGUGAAUAAGAGCAAUACCGGCUUCGGCCAACAGGAUGUAGGGUUAUUACCUGAUAAUUCAGGGGCCCGAACCUGUAUAAAAAUCUCUGUCUCCGCCUCUCUUACCUCAGUCUCGCGUAUAUCCUAGUACCAACGAUCCCCAUACUAUGCAAAUAACGGAAUCGCGACAUCAAACGUCGACAAAAGGGAGAUGAAACAAAUAGAUAUGCAAUAGAUUAAGAGAAAAAUAAAUAAAGUAGAAUUAUUAUGUUGUAUUGGGGCAAGUGUGAUGAAGGCAAUGUGUUGUAUGCAUUACCUCUUAAAUAAUAACCGGAUGAUGUAUAUAAGUUUAGAGAUGACUAUCACCUCUACUAUAAAACUUGCUCUUAUGAUGUAGCAUUGUUAUUUUGCCACAGCUAUAUUGACAUGCAAAAUAACACUGGCACGUCUAAUUAAUGCGGGUGACAUGGCAAUGUUGUUUCGUAAAGAAGGGUGACAUGGUAAAAAUAUUAAGAUUUGAUAUUAAGUUUUAAGAGGGUUUAUUUUUUUUAAGAAAAAUAAAAAAGGUUAAAACAUAAUAAAAAAUUCUAGCUUGAAUGGAGUGGAAUCCUCCGCUAUAUAGCAUGGUGCUAUAGGGCAGAGGUCCACAGUAAUAAUGGGCAUUAGCCCUCAUCUCAGUUCUCUGUUUGAAGUUCAACGCCUGGGGUGAAUAGCUAUAGUACAAAAUUAUCUGUACAGUACAAAAGUUACUGCUGCUAUAGUACCUGUGCACUGUUCAGGGAGUCAAGCCAACGCGCAAGACGAAUGUUACUGCAGAUAGUAGCUCAGAUGCGUAGAGGACUAGACGACAUGGACGACGCGCUUGAGCCCAUUCUCGACUUUUCAAAUUGCCCCCAUUGAAAGUCGGUAUUAUUAGUGUUCGUAGCCAUAAUUUUUUAUGAAGUCAAUCGAAUUUGUCAAGAUUAGCAACUACAAGAGCAAAGAUUUGCAAUUUGUUAAACCAAAGUGUGUAUGUAAGAGCAUAUAUAUAAGUCACACUCUUUCAGAAAGUACAGGGUGAUGCACACCAUUCACCACACACAUGUUACCAUAGUAUGGUGGGUUCAGCAAAAUAAAUUCGUAGUAGUAUGUAUUAUUCUAACUUGUAUUCACACCACAAUUUUUAUAUAAAUUCGAUUGGCUAGGUACAUACACAUGCGAAGGCAUACGAUUACAUUGUACCCCCCCUCCCUUUCUGACUUGGAACUCUCGGUUAAUGGCAGCAGGGUAUCAGCAGGCCUCACCAUUGAUCACCCCAACCUUAGAGCUCUGCCGGCUAGUGAAGAGAAUCAUCCACCACAGUAGUGGCAACAGCCACAGGUAGGCAUCUUCGCACCUCCUGACGACGGAUCCGAUAUCUUUACAUUACUCACCACUCUAUGUGAUGAGGGUACCUUAGAUCUAUAUAGGCUUGCCACUGAGCGGAGAGAGCGGAAAUGGGUUUUCUGGUGACAGUGGCUAAGUUUUAGGUCGCCUUUGCAGUCAGUUCCAUGGGAGACGAUCUAAGGAUCGGAUCAAGUGGUGUAAGUGAAUUUAUAUUUUUUUAAAAAAAUAUUACAUGCAUAUAAUUUAUAUAUAUAUGGUUUAAUUUAUUUGGGGAGAUAUUGGCAAAUAGAAUUAGAAAAUUUAAUUGGACAUAAGUCUAAAAUGUCACCCUCUAAUGAUCAGUAAUAACAUAUUGACAAAAAAAAAACACUACUUGAAAAAUGUUGGGCCGGUUGGAAUACCGGGGCUACGACACCGUAGAGCUUAUCGUAGAGCCAUCAGGAUCAAUCGCAUAGGCGAAGGCAAAUUCGGGUUACAAGAGUCGCAGCCAGAACCGCCAUCUGUCAAAUAAUUCCUUUAAAAAAGUUUAUAGGCUAAAGUUAAGUGGUCCAAUUAAGCCUCUCUAUAUAUUAGUUAUAGGCACGCGCAUUGCAAUGUUUUUUAUUCAAUCUCUUCUUUCUAUAAAGCUAAUGCCUACUACACACCUAAAGUUCAACAUGCAAGCAUAGUAUUUAUUAGCACUACUAAAACCUACAUGCAAGCAUGCCACAUCAACCAAUUAAGUUCAUAAAACUCAACAUGCAUACACAUAGUAAUUAUAUCUACAAUUUAUUUUAUUCUAAAACAAAACAUACACAUGCUAAAUCAUCAUUCUCAAAUCAUUUUCAUAAUAUUUCAAUCCAAAUCAUUCAUCAUUUCUCUAUUAUCUAACAUAUAUCCUGCAGCAAAGCGCGGGGCGUCAUCUAGUUUACUAAGAUGAUUUAGGUCUAGUGGGCUUUUAAUCCUUUUUAUAAUGGUUGGUUCUUUAGGAAAGUAGAAAUUUUUUUGGGGGUGGAUGGUUUUUUAUAGGAGGAAAGAGAGGUUUUUAUGUGGAGGGGAAGGAGGAUGUUUUUUUUAAGUAGAGAUACAUGUAUGUUUAGAUUAAACUGUGAAUGAGAUGGCUCACCCAAAUAAUAACUCGGUAGAUCUACGGAUACCCUGCACCUCUCCCAAACAAGCUCUAUCUAGAUUGCCAAUAAAAUGUCCGCCAUUCCGGGGUGCAUGCAUCUCACUACAUACCUCGAUCUUUAAUUGUGCAGUUACAAAGUCAUAUGCAACGAAACAGGCCAACAAAGAAUUAAUUAAUUAAUUAAUUAAUUAGAAAUUUAGUUAGUUAUCACUGUUCCAUUGGGUGAUUGGGGGUUUGCAAAUGCUUCGCGAUGCACGUAUGCACCCAGCCCGUCAAAUCAAUCGGCAAUUGAUGAAACGGCGACAAAAAAUAAAUCGAAGGAACAUCAUAUAUAUACCCCCUCCGUCCUAUAAUAUAAGGGAUUUUAACCUUUUCUUAUACUUUUUGACUACUCAUCUUAUUCAAAAAAUUUGUGUAAAUAUAAAAAAUGAAAAGGUAUGCUUAAAGUACUUUGGAUAAUAAAGUAAGUCACAAAUAAAAUAAAUAAUAAUUCUAAAUUUUUUUGAAUACGACGAAUGGUCAAUCUGUUCAAAUAAAAAGUUAAAAUACUUUAUAUUAUGGGACGGAGGGAGUACUCCGGUAUAUAUCAUCACCGCAAUGAUACGUAGGCGACGACGCACAGUGACAGGUAGCAUACCACAGGAGUCAGGAGCAUCAUAUCACCAGCGUACGUACGCGUGACCACCGACAACGAUGCCUCUCACGAUCACAGCGACCUCACCUCACACCUCCGUCUCUUUUGCAUUGGAGGCCAACACAUCCACCGAACAAUGACCUUACAUGUUGCGAACUUGCAAUGGAUCGUCGGAAUGUUUAGUACUGUGGAAUAUAUACAAGUCGGUAACCACGUUUGUUUUGUUUUGUUUGGUUUGUGGUGAGGGACGCCGGUCAAAGAGGAUUGCUGGACACGCCUCUUUUGUAUCAUGUUUUGGUAGUAAUUGUUUUCUCUCAUGACGACUAAUGAUUCUCAUCACCUGGUAACAAGAAUUCUAGUACUUUUGAAAGGGAGAUUGAUUUAUUGCUUUUAAGAAUUUAAACGGUACACAAGACAAUAUAUAUGUGAAGCCAGGCAAACAAUCACUACUACAUAAUAUAUUUUCCUGGAUGCCCUCCCCUUUUAUUUCCAUGCGGUUCGUAAGUGGAACCGCAUGUAAAAAUAGGGGACAGGCUCCAGGCUAUUGCCCACACGGGAAAAAGCAAUAUCCCGUGCGGGUGGCUUAAGCCAACCACACGGGCCCACCGCAAUUAAGGUCCACCACCUACCUUCGCCCGGCCGCUCCACCUCCCUCUCUCCCACUCUUCUCUCUCCACUCCUCUCCUCUCCUCUCCUCCCACUCUCCUCUCCUCUCUCCACUCCUCUCCUCUUUCUCCCUCAGUGCAUGGCGCACGGCGGUGGGCGAGAGCGGCGGCGGCAGCCGCGGGCGAAAGCGGCGGCGGCGGCGGUGGCACGCACUCCCUCCCCUCCUUCCCUUAGCAGAUCCGGCGGAGGGGGGGCUUGGGGGCUUGGGGGCAGCGGAUCUGGCGGCGCCCGCCCCCUCCCCUCCUUCCCCUUGCAGAUCCGGGGGAGGGGGCGGCGGAUCUGGCGGCGCGCGGCGGGUGGAGAGCAGGCGGCGGCGGCGGGCG